GCCCGUGGUUCCGGUGGAGGCGUGGAAUAGCUCGCCCCUGUAGAGGUGGAGCCACAGAUCCCAGUGCGGCAUCAUCCCUAGGAAGCCCUCACACACGGCGGCGAAGACCGCCGCCACGGUGAUGGCGUUCGGGGAGAAGUGCUGCAGCUCCACCCCGUAAUGGGAACAGAGGGCCCGCAUGAAGCGGCUUGGAGGCGCGCCCAGACCGUGGCGGUGGAACUUGGCGAACGACACCACGUAGCCUUCGGGUGGCUGAGGCGCCCUGUGGCUCGCUGGCGGCGCGAUCCACUCUGGCGACGACAGCGAGGUGCGGCGGCGCAGCAGCCCCUCCUUCUCAAGCUCUAACAGCCGGCGCUCCGUCAUCGACGACGGGCGCCAGUCAUCGGCGGCGACAAGUCUUACAGGCAUUUUGGCUAACGGGACGAUGGAUUCGCUACGGCUCGAGGGGGCGUGUGCGCGUGAGAUGGCGAGAAAGCAAAGGCAGCAAAGGAACAAGAGCGAGAAGGCGGAAGAAAGAGGAACGGCGGUGACGCGACGACAUACUUAUAGGCAGCUGUCCUCCAACGGACAGAUCCGAGAAGUAAGGUAACCCCCCCCCCCCAUAAAUGCGCCGCCUGACAGUUCUCUCUCUCACCCUCCUCACAGGCCGGACUCUCCGAAUUCCUCGCCGAUACGGUGUCGUAACGUCAUCCGCCUAAAAAGACGCGCCCAACGGGCAGAAAUGCGAACCGCCACGACCGUUCCCUUCCUUCGUAAGCCAAGGGACGUAACCGCAAAAGUCUCGAGAGGUCGAUGGCUGGCCCGCCGAAAGGGUUCGACAGCCGAUCUCGGGCGCUAGAGUCAGGGAUCCCUAGCGAGCGGUCGAAGAUCGAGGCCCGCCUCGAGGGCUCGCUGGUGAUGUUCAAGGUAGGGUCGAGACAGUCGAGAGGGAUCCCCCCGAAGGGAGGCAUCGAGCCGCUGGACUCUAUCGAAUGAGACCAGAAUCCCCCGACCACGUCGACCCUGCUUUAUGAGGACGCCUCCGGGCUACAGCUGACCCCCUCGAAAGGGGCACAGGUUCUCACUUGGACUACCCGCUAGGAACUCAAUUUGGGAUGAAAGACGCUCGCUCUAUCGAGAGUACGUCGAAACCCACGGGCGGAAACGAGCCAGUCAGAAUCUUCCACCACUGGUGUCGAAAGCGUUUCUGCGAAUUAGACAACAUAAUCCUCGAAGGAGUCAAAAACUCCUCCGAGGUCUCGGGGGCUACCCCGCGGGGUCGCUCGCGCGCCCCCACGAGAAUUCGACCGUAAAUCAAAACCUUCAUUCGAGCGCUAGCGCUCGAAUGAAGGCUCGGGGGCUACUGUCGAGGGUAUCGGUAAGGGGUACCCUCAGCGAUACGCAUUACGAGAUUGUCCGUACGCGGGUCGAGACCCCCAAUUCGACGCUCUAAUCUCGCGUAUGCGCCGCUAUCGACGGCCGCAACCUCGAAGACGGAAAUAGCGUCGAGCGAAUCGAUCAGGCGUCGAGCGUUAGUUACCGUUGAAUACGGAACAGCCUCGUGCGAACCGGAGGGCGUCGAGCGCGAGGACGCCACCCGCCGCCUGACACACGCACGCGGGCCGGAGCAUUAAGUAUGCCCGAUGCUUCCCCACCUAACGCACAGGUCACGGGAGGCGUGAUAGGGAACAGGCUUCCGUCCCAUCAACCUUUUUGCAGCUUUCCUACCGGACGACCCGGGGUGUGUCGGGACACAGGAAACCAGGAUGGAGCGCCUAACCGAGACAUCCUCGAGACACCCGAGGUCGGCGCUCCAGUACGUGGCGUCCGACCCUCGACCAAACAGGGUCCCUUCCCAGGGAUAAGUUGGACGUCGACUGACGACACAACAGCUACCCUGCCGAAUUCGCCGCCGUAUCGUACAGACAUGCGAUCCCAGAAACAGUGCAAGGCGGCACCCAGGGCAGAACGCAGGAGCACGCGUAAUCAUCACCGGGCUAUCAGGAUGGGACGGCUCGAGGCCAUGCUGCACAGGAACCUCGAAUAGGUCGGCGCUCCAUGCGGCUAACGACCCCUACUCUAAACGUCUACGCAUGUACCCUGUGUCUCUCCUUGGAGCUAUAAAAGGAGAGACUCAGGAAUAGAAGAGGGGAACAACACUAGGACACAAGGCCACACUCACACGCGUAGUAGAGCGACACAUUUCAUUCCACGCUUGUAUUCACCCCUGUACAAGCACUUAGGUGCAAGAUAAUACAAAUUCUCCCCCCCCCACUGGACGUAGGGCCUUCUCUUGCCUGAACCAGGAUAAAUCUCUGCGUUUUCUUGCAUCACCAUCCGGAAAAGGGGAGCACGCAUACAAAUUUACUCGUUGGUGUGACCCCCCGGGGGAUAAAACACCGACACGGCUCGACCCUCUCCUCGACGCCCUGAAGAAGCUUCGCCAGGAAGGUUUGACCGCCGCCCUCGUCCUCUCGGCCGUCCAUCAUCGGAGAGUUCUCCCUCUGAUGUCACGACCGCUGAGGAUGGACGAGAUGGGCCCUGGCGUCUCGUCUCGGGACCUCGAGGCAUGUCGGAUGUCCAGCGAGCCUCCGACGGACGAUGAAGUCGCGGCCCGAGUCAGGGCCGCAAUUGCCGGUGAUUUUAAGCCAGAGCACGUCAACGGCUUCCCCAUGCGACCCGACGCAGGCUCGAUCGAUCUGGUACGCUUUCUUCUUGCGCGCAUCCUCGAUUCUAGGUUUCCCCUCUCCCCUCUCUUUUUUUCUAAGUCUACCUUAGUUUUGGCAGGGUCGGAUUGAUGUCCGGUCCUCGAGGCCUCCAGUAAAGGAGGACGAGGUCGAUCGCGACAAACGAUGCCAAUCCGCCGAGAAGUUGAAGUCUGCCAAGGACUCCGCAAAAAAGGGGGAGAAGAAGAAGAAUCUCGACCGCCAAGCAUUAGAGGUGCGUCGAGCCAAAUCCAGGCAGAGGGGGGAGCCUGAGGAAGAAUCCCCCAACGACGACGAUGAUGACGACGAGAGUAGCGACGACUCCGAGGGGAUGGCGUCGCGUCUCGAUCGGAUCCUCGAGGGCCCGCCUCGAGAUGACGUCGACGCCCCCCGGACGGAGGCGCCGGAGGAGGGUCCGAGCGGGUCUCGUCGUCCCCGGCCCGACGCUCCUUCCGCGCUCAAGGCGGGCCAGGACGCACCGCGCCCUCCCCUGGCGCCCAAGGAGAGCGGUCCAGCUAGGUCCCAGGCGUCGGGGCCGCUGACCCGCGGUCGCGCUGCGGCCUCUGAGAAAGGAGACGCCGGUCGUAGGAGCGCGAGUCCCGGCGCCCGCCAAGCGGGAUCCGACGUACAUAGGCCAAUUUCUGCCCUCGAGGGGCCUAGCGCCCCGACGCGGGGUGGCUCGAGGCCCACUGGUCGGGGUGGCGGAAGGCGAGCCGUUCUGCCCGUGGGGUAAGCCCUUUUGUUAUUGCGGUCUUUGUCCCCUCAUUCUCUCGCCUUUCCUCACGUGCUGACUUUUUCUCAGGCUGAAACGGACCCUCGAGCAGGCCCAACCAUCGAUGGCCAAGAGGCUCAGAACGGGUGCCACCUCCACGGAACCAGGUUCGUAGUUAAUUCCUGGGUGUCGCGAUAUUAUUAUGUCGGUUAUCAUAACGUCUGACCCUUACCCUUUGUUUUGCAGGCCCGUCAAGCACCCAACCUUCAGCCGGCGUCGAGAUGGCUUCGCCUCGUCCCGCGCCUACUCCGCCGCCACCAACUCAUGAUGCGACCCCCCAGACGCGAGCGUCAGAGGGAGCCCCCGAGCCCCCUCGAUUGGGGGUCGGGGGGGAGCCCAUCACCAUCAGCGAUACGUCUGAUGGUAACGAAGCGUCUGGGGGCGUUCGACCCAUGGAGGAAGAGGCGUCGACUCCCAACGUCGCAGGACAGACUCCCUGGCCCGCAGGCCUUCGAGCCCUCGAGACGCAAAGGAAGAUGGUGGAGGAGGAGGCGCGGGAGCGCGAGGCGGCGCAGCCGUCACUGGAGCAGCAGCAGCAGCAAACUCUGCCGGAGGAGCAACUGCAGCGUCAGCAGGAGGAGCAACAGCAGCAGCUGGGGCAGCAACAGCAGCUGGGGGGUCAGGAGAACGAGCCGCUCGAGCCCCCGCCUCAAAUUUUGGCCGAACCGGCGCCGCUGGCGUCGCAAGAGCCCGGCAAUCAAGAGGGAGAUUUGCCGGCGUACGGGCCUCCUACCCCAGCGUGGCUCCUCCCGGGGGCACCUGCCGCGAUCCGGGCAGAGUCGGGGCGAGCGGACGGAGUGGUGGCGCUCGCCUGCAUGAUGCGCACCCCUACCGACCCCGAGUCCGAGAUCAAGGGGACACUCUACGGCAUGGACGGGAUCGCCCCAGGGUUCCUCCGGGAGCGUCGAGCGUGGGAGGAUCGUUUUCCCUCUGAGGAAGACGAGAUCGGAUCGUCUGGGAGCAAGGAUGGUACGUGGAAGACGGUGGACGACGACGGCCGGUUCCCUUGCCUCGCCGACCUGUUCUUGCGCCACGGGGGUUCCCUCGAGACCGUCGAGAACUUCCUCCGCGGCGUCAAGGUGCGGGCCGAUCGGGAGAUGGAGAACUGGUGCCCCGAUCGGAUUCGUAUCCGAGCUUCCAGCGACCCGUCCGAGCCCAAUAUCUUCCUCGAUGACAAGAAGGAAGUCGAGAAGUGGGAGCACGUCGAGGAGCUCCGCCUUUGGAUGAAACACGUGGUGGGGCUCCUAUCGGACGUCAUCAACAACGGGCUUGGGCCCGCUUAUUUUGUAAGUGUUUCUCGAGCUCCAAUCGUUGUUGUGCUUUUGGGUCUCCGCGUUCUAAUCCCCCUGGCCCCUGAUUCGCAGGAUAUGAAAGAGACCUCUCGCAUCAAGUCUAGCUUCAUACAUGCCACGAGGGGCGGAUGGGAGCAGCUUCCCCUCCUCAAGGAUCAACUCCUCGAGUCACAGGAAAAGCUGCUUAAAGCUUAUAAAGAUCUUAUAGCACUCGAGGAGGAGAAGAAGGUGAGGGAGGCUGCUUUGGCCGAGGCCCGAGAGGUCUCGAAGAAGGCGGAGGAGGAGGCGGUGCGGCUGCGGGAGCGGGCUCUUACGGUCGAGGAGGCCGCGUCCAGAGCCCGGGAGGAGGUCCUAUCCCACAAGGGCAUCAUUGCGGACCUGGAUAAGGAGAAGGGCCUUCUCCAGACCGACUUGGACUCCCUCCGCGAUACCUUCCAGAAGAUGAAGGUGGCGUUCGUGGACAGUGAGGUCGCCAGGGGUGCCGCCGAGGACGCAAAAAAGAAAGCCCUCGAAGGCCUCGAGAUGGAGCGAGCUCGAUCCCGCAGUCUCUCUGACGACGUCGAGCGUCUGAAGGGAGAACUGCUAGAGAAGAGUGGAGCCGUCGCUCAGGCUGGCAGGGUGAUCGAAGAUCUCCGCGUUGCCAAUACUGAGCUGACGCGCUCCAACAGAGAGAUCGAGCGUGCCAAUACCAGAUUGGUUGGCGAGAACACGGCUCUAGAGGAGAGCAUCAAAGGUAUGUUCCCUUUGUCGAAUUUCCUUUUCGAGGUGUGCUUGAGUUUUUUCUAAAGCUCCUUUGUAUUGGUAUUUGUAGGGCUCAAGGACGAACUCCUGGCCGCCCAAGCCGAGGCUCGCAACGCCAAGGCUCAACUCGAGGCUGAGGUUGCUUUGAACCGUCGAGUGCGGACGGCGAUAAGCGAUCUCUCGACCUCUUGGGAGGUCGAGCCUAUGGAUGAGUCGAGGGAGGACUCUCGAGGUGACGCACUGGUCGAUCAGCUGUGCUACUUAGGUGCGACGCUGCGAGAUCGGGUGCGGGAUGCCCUCCACAUCGGGGUGAAGCGGGCGAUGGCGGUUGUCUGCUCGGGCUUCUCCUACGACAUGGAGGUAGUAUCCCACGGCUUCGUCACCGACAUCUCUAAGACCGACGCGGAGAACGAAGAAAGGCUUCACACUUUGAUCGAUGACGCGGAGGCCCCUGGAGAGAGGCUGGCCAAGCUAUUUGAACCUGAGGUGCUUCCUCCUGAGACUGGCUCGGGCGGAGCUGAGGGUGGCGGGGAUCGUACCAUGGACUGAGGCCUGCGAGCCUGCUCGGGGUGCCUGGGGCCCCUUGUAUAAAACUUAGUUAAUCCUGUUUCUGAGCGAUACAGUACCUUUGUGGUUGUUAAAUGUUUGUUUGUCUUUCCACUCGAGGUUCUUUUAUUUCCUUUGCGCCUACGCGUGUGUUCCUUGUUCGAUUUUUCGUAAAACACAGCCUCGAUCGCCUCGAGGGUGAGGGAGUGAGUAGAGUUUCCAUAGCCCGGGGGCGUAGGUGUUCUCAGGCUCGCUAUCCUUCGGUCCUCGAGGGGCUCGAGGCGCCUCGACUACUCGAUCGUUCAAGGUUUACUAAGUAGGAAAUAGAGAAACUUUUUGGCUUUUUCGACGCUUGGGGAGGGGUCGUCCCUCUGGUAGCCCCCGAGGGGGUGCGGACUAUGAUGGGUCAUGGUCGGCAUCCCCUUUUAACGUCGAGACUAUAAUUCGUAACUAUUUUGGUACAGAAAGAAACUGCUCGAGGGAAAGACUUUAUUUAUUCAUGCAUUCAUUUACAAAGUCUUCGUACAAAAAGUAGGAUCGUAAAUCUAGGACUUCUAGGGGUAGAAUCGACGUAGCUGUUCGAUGUUCCAUGCGUUGGUGAAGACUGCCCCCUUUUCGUCCGCCAAUUUGUACGUUCCUGGCUUAAGGACCUCGGCCACCACAUACGGGCCUUCCCAAGGUGGGGUUAGCUUGUGGCGUCCUUGGUUGCUUUGCCGGCGUCGUAGGACAAGGUCGCCUACGUUGAGGUCCCUCUUGCGCACGUGCUUGUCGUGGUAGCGUCGGAGUCUCUGCUGAUAUCUAGCAGAGUUGAGGAGGGCCAUGUCUCGAGCUUCCUCGAGUUGGUCGACCGCGUUUUCUUGAGCUUCUUUGUUCGAUUGCUCAUUGUAAGCCUUGAGUCGAGGUGACCCAUACUCGAGGUCUGUGGGGAGGAUAGCCUCAGAGCCGUAGACCAUAAAGAACGGGGUGUAUUUGGUGGCCCUGCUCGGCGUUGUCCUUAGGCUCCAUAGGACCGAGGAAAGCUCCUCGACCCAUCUCUUGCCGAAUUUCUUCAAUCGAUUGUAGAUCCUUGGCUUGAGUCCUUGCAAAAUCAUGCCGUUGGCACGCUCGACCUGGCCGUUAGUUCGAGGGUGGGCUACUGCGGACCAAUUCACACGGAUGUGAUGCUGAUCACAGAAAUCCAAGAACUUCCUGCCAGUAAACUGGGUGCCGUUGUCGGUGAUGAUGACAUUGGGGAUCCCAAAUCGAUGGAUGAUGUCGGAGAAGAAGAGGACGGCCUGCUCGGAGCGGAUGUUAGUGAUGGGUCAAGCCUCGAUCCAUUUAGAGAACUUGUCAAUAGCCACCAGCAAAUGUGUAUACCCUCCUUUCGCCUUUUGUAGAGGUCCUACUAAGUCGAGCCCCCACACCGCAAACGGCCAGGUGAUGGGGAUCAUCUGAAGAGCAUGGGCGGGCAGGUGCGUCUGUUUGGCGUAGAAUUGGCACCCGUGACACGAGCGUACGAGCUCGACGGCAUCCGCCACGGCCGUUGGCCAGUAAAAGCCUUGCCGAAAAGCGUUUCCUACAAGGGUCCGUGGGGCGGCGUGGUGGCCACAAGCCCCCGAGUGCAGGUCGUCGAGGAGUUUUCGGCCUUCCUCUAUGGUGAUGCAACGCUGUAAGAUUCCCGUCGGGCUCCGUCGAUAUAGCUUGUUGUCUUCACCAUAGAUCACAUAUGAUUUGGCCCGUCGAGCGAUACGGCGAGCUUCUGUCCUAUCUUCUGGCAACUCACCGCGGAUAAGGCAGUCGAGGAACGGUGUGCGCCAAUCGAAUGGUCGACCCGGUCGUCAUUCUAUUUCCAUCACCUCUUCCUCCAUCAAGAGCGCAUCGACAGCAUUGAUUGGUUGGGCGAUGGUGGUAUCGGCGCCAGCCCCCGUGCCUAAGUCGACGGAUGGCUCGUGUAGAUCCUUUGAGAAUACAUCAGGCGGCACUGUGCCUCUGGUAGAUGCAAUCUUGGCGAGUUCGUCGGCUGCCUCGUUGUAGCGUCGAGCGACAUGGACGAGCUCGAGGCCGUGGAAUUUGUCUUCGAGUCGACGCACCUCCUUGCAGUAUGCUUCCAUUUUUGGGUCAUGGCAACUCGAGGCUUUCAUUACCUGGUCGAUGACGAGUUGGGAGUCGCCUCGGACGUCGAGGCGUCGGACUCCUAACUCAAUAGCGAUCUUGAGUCCGUUGACGAGGGCCUCAUAUUCUGCGACAUUGUUAGAUGCGGCGAAAUGAAUCCUGAUUAUGUACCUCAUGUGGUCGCCCAAGGGUGAGAUGAACAGUAGGCCGGCCCCGGCCCCAGUUUUCAUGAGUGACCCGUCGAAAUACAUUGUCCACAGCUCCGCCUGGACCUGAGUCGGGGGAAGCUGGGAGUCCGUCCAUUCUGCGACGAAGUCUACCAGGGCUUGUGAUUUGAUGGCCUUUCGAGGCGCAUAAGUGAGGGUCUCGCUCAUGAGCUCGACCGACCACUUCGCUAUCCUUCCCAUGGCCUCCUUGCUCUGGAUUAUUUCGCCCAAAGGGAAAGAAGAGACCACCGUGAUAGGAUGACCAAGGAAAUAAUGCUGUAAUUUACGGCGGGCAAGGAUUACGGCGUAGAUCAGCUUCUGGAUUUGGGGGUAACGCGCCUUGGUCUCCGAAAGCACCUCGCUGACGAAAUAGACCGGCCUUUGGACUGGCAGCGCGUGACCCUCUUCUUGUCUUUCGACCACCACCGCCGCGCUGACGACCUGGGUCGUCGACGCGACGUAGAGGAGCAGCGGUUCCGCAGGUUGAGGUGGAACCAGGACUGGUGCCGAAGUCAGCGUCUUUUUCAGCUUUUCAAGUGCUUCCUCGGCCUCGGGGGUCCAAGAAAAACGCUCGACCUUCUUCAGGAGUCGAUAUAAUGGUAAUGCCUUUUCUCCUAGUCUCGAGAAGAAACGGCUCAGAGCCGCCAGGCACCCCGUGACUCUUUGGACACCCUUGAUGUCUCGGAUUGGCCCCAUUUUCGUGAUGGCCGAGACUUUCUCGGGGUUGGCCUCGAUACCGCGCUGUGAAACAAUGUAUCCUAAGAGCAUGCCUCGAGGCACGCCAAAAACGCACUUCUCGGGAUUAAGCUUGAUCCGGCUGGUGCGUAAGCAGCUGAAAGCAACCUCGAGGUCCUGGAUCAGGUCUCCUCGUUGCUUUGACUUGACGACAAUGUCGUCGACGUAGGCCUCGACCGUUGAACCUAUAUGUUCGCCAAAUACGUGGAGCAUGCAACGUUGAUACGUGGCUCCCGCGUUUCGAAGCCCAAAUGGCAUGGUCACGUAGCAAUACAUCCCGAAAGGCGUGAUGAAAGAGGUCGCGAGCUGGUCGGACUCUUUCAUUUUUAUUUGGUGAUAACCAGAAUAAGCAUCAAGGAAAGAAAGGGUCUCACAUCCCGCGGUAGAAUCGACAAUUUGAUCAAUGCGUGGUAACGGAAAAGGAACUUUCGGACAUGCUUUAUUCAAACUAGUAUAAUCGACACACAUCCUCAUUUUCCCAUUCUUUUUCUUAACUAAUACAGGGUUCGCUAACCAGUCAGGAUGAUGAACCUCCUUGAUGAAUCCGGCCGUCAAAAGCUUUUGGACUUCCUCGCCAAUGAUCUUGCGCUUUUCCUCGUCGAAUCGGCGCAACCGCUGCUUCACUGGCUUGGAACCGGCUCGAAUCUCCAAGGAGUGCUCGGCGACUUCCCUCGGUAUGCCCGGCAUAUCCGAGGGACUCCAUGCAAACAUAUCAGCAUUCGCACGGAGAAAGUCGACGAGCACGGCUUCCUAUUUGGGGUCGAGGUCGGUGCUGAUUGUCAGCACCUUGCCGUCGGAGUUGUUGGGGUCGAGCGGGAUCUUCUUAGUACCUUCCACCGCCUCGAAGCUGCCCGCAUGACGUUUAGGUUCUGGAGCCUCAGCGGCCAUGGCUUCGAGCUUCGCAACGAGCUCGGUGGAGCUCUCGACCGCCUCCCCGUACUCGACGCACUCGACGUCGCACUCGUACGCGUGCUCGAAGGAAGAACUGAUGGUGAUGACGCCUUUGGGACCAGGCAUCUUCAGCUUCAAGUAUGUGUAGUUGGGUAUAGCCAUGAACUUGGCGUAGCCCGGGCGUCCGAUGAUGGCGUGGUACGUGCCUCGGAACCCAACCACCUCAAAGGUGAGGGUCUCCUUCCUGAAGUUGGCCGCCGUUCCGAAGCAGACCGGUAGGUCGAUUCGACCUACUGGCAGUGCUUUUUUCCCUGGUACGACGCCAUGGAAGCCGCCGGCGCUUGGCUGGAGGCGUUCUCUAUCGAUGCCGAGGAGAUCGAGGGUCUCGAGGUAGAUGAUGUUGAGGCUGCUGCCGCCGUCCAUCAGCACUUUCGAGAGUCGGGUGUUGACGAUGAUGGGGUCGACGACGAGCGGGUAGACGCCUGGGGCGACCACCUUGUCGGGGUGAUCUUCUCGGUCGAAGGUGAUGGGAGUGCUUGACCAGCUAAGAUACUGGGGCACCGCCAUCCUUGCUGCAAAGACUUCGCGACGCUCCCUCUUGCGUUGCCUCGUGGUCAACUGAGUCGAAGCCGUCGUCAUCUUUGUUGUCCUCCUUGCCACCAGCCUUCUCCUUCUUGGAGUCAUCACGCGCAUCUUUUUUGAGCCCCUGACCGUCGAAAUGCUUUCUCAGCAUGCGACAAUCCUUGAGUUUGUGGUUAGCGCCUCCCUUAUGGUAAGGGCACGGCUCCUCCAACAUCUUGUCGAAGAUGCCUCCCUCCGGAGGGCCUCGCGGCUUCUUUCGAUCCAUCGUGGCGACGAGGUCGUCACCCGAAUCUCCCUGGUGGAACUGCCGUACUUUCUGCUUCUUUUUAUUUUUCUUGAGACCUCGACUGGAAGUCCCUUCUUCAUCGACGGGCUGCUUGCCUUUUCUUCCUUCUGAGCUGAAGAAAGCGCCGACUGCCUCCUCCCCUGCCGCGUAGUUAGCUACCACGUCCAUCAGCUCGUCGACGGUCUGAGGUCGAUUGCGGCCUAAUUCCCGCACCAAGUCUCGACUGGUGGUGCCCGAGACAAACGCCAAGAUGACGUCGUGGUCGGGGAUGUGUGGCAACUCAGUGCGUUGCUUCGAGAAGCGUCGAGCGUACUCCCGAAGAGUCUCUCCUGUCUUCUGCUUGCAUUUGCUGAGGUCCCACGAGUUCCCUGGCCGUAUAUAGGUCCCUUUGAAGUUACCCUCGAAGACUCUGACCAGGUCAACCCAGUUGUGAAUCUGAUUGGCUGGGAGUUCCUCGAGCCAUCGACGGGCGGUGUCGGAGAGGAAAAGGGGUAGUUGUCUGAUGAUGGCUCGAUCAUCCCCCCGAGCGCCGCCUAGCUGACAAGCCAGCCUGAAAUCGGCCAGCCAUAGCUCUGGCUUGGUUUCUCCAUUGUACCUCGCGAUGCUGGUUGGGGGUCGGAACGGACUAGGCAGGGGCGUGCUGCGAAUCGCUCUGCUGAACACCCGCGGGCCUGGUGGCUCGGGGGCCACCCGGUCCUCGUCGCUGUCGUACCUCCCACCGCGAUGCGCGCUAUAGCCACGUUCUUCCGCGUCUCCGUGCCGUCGGCGUCUAUUUUCUUUGACGUCGUGUCGCGCGUCGUGUCGACGUUGAUUGUCGGCAGGGAGGAUGAGAGCGGUCUUUCUGCCUCGAGGGGGAGGUUGUUGCUGGACAGACACCUCCUCUUCGAUUAGAGGCUGUUCGUCGCGCUUCUCUGUGGCAGCUCCUCGUCGUCGAGAUGCCGAACUUUCGGCUUGUUGAACUGCUGCCACCUGGAGCAACGUCUGAACUUCAUCUCGAAUUCGUCGGGCCUGGCAAUUCGAUGGUUCUGGCAUGUUACGCAGCAGCAUCGUCGCUGCCACUACAUUCUGGCCUGCUCGAGGGAAACGGCCGACAGGUUGCUCCGCCUCCGUGUCACCGACGAUCUGUCGAUGUACCUCUCGAGCGCGUCUGCGGACACUUCCGCCUGGCGGGUAGGGCAGGUCUUGUUCGAGGAUUUGCUCGAGCAGGACGAGGCGCUCGCGAUCUUCGUCGAGCUUCAUCUUGAGCUCCCGCAGCUGCGCGAGCUGCGCAGUUCUAUCUUCCUGAGGAAGAGGGUCGAACCGUCCGUCGUUCCCAGGCGUCCUGGGGUCUUCUUGCGCCGCGGGGGCUCGUCCACCCGCAACAGCAUCCCGUGUCUUGUCGGUGGUUUCUGCCGCUCCGUCGAGGUGAUAGCAUUCCCUCGUAGGGUCAUAACUGUCUGUCUCGGAGUCGGAGUCCGGCUCGGUAGCGUGGAAACAUUCACGUCCUUCCUCCAGCCAUCGUUGCCUGAGGGAGGUGAUCGAGUAUCGUCCGGGGCCUAGACGGCGGAGGCCCCGUACUUGGGAAAGGUCCGGCAGUUCGGACGUCGGCCGCCGCUCUUCGGAACUACGUGGGAUGACCAUUGGUCUUUCCACGUAUGUCUGAGCGUUUGGGCAUAUCGUCUUGGCGAGCGAUGCCGCGGCGUUGUCCAAUCCGAACGGCAGUGCCGCCCUUGGAGAGAACAACCCGCGUGGAGGUAGCCUAGCUGCGGUGGGGGAGGGUGCGCGAGACGCGUCUCCCCCCGUCGUCGCGUGGUGCUGAGUCGUCGCGCUUGUUGCUCGGUCAGACGGUGUUGCCGACCCGUGGCCCGCAUCCUGCCUUGCACGAGUUGUUGGUCGUGCCGAAGCAAGGGGGCCACGGUGGUGCUGCCCGCGCCUCUUCUUAGGCGGAGAGGCGUGGUGGUGAGGGCGUCUUGGAGCCUUCGACUGUGCUGGCGUAACGCGGACUCCUCCUGGUCCUUUGACCGAGAGCAAGAUCAUGUCGUAGCCGAAGCCCGUAGACAUGAACUCGAGACUCCCAAACCAAAUCACCGUGGAGUGCGGGAGCGGCGAGGCAGGAGUAGCCAUCCGGAAAGUGGUGGGAAAUCGGUAAAAAACACGCAGGACCCCUACCUGGCGCGCCAACUGUCGGUGUUUUUUUCCCGGGGGGGUCACACCAACGAGUAAAUUUGUAUGCGUGCUCCCCUUUCCGGACGGUGAUGCAAGAAGACACAGAAAUUUAUCCUGGUUCGGGCAAGAGAAGGCCCUACGUCCAGCGGGGGGAGAGAGUUUGUAUUAUCUUGCACCUAAGUGCUUGUACAGGGGCGAAUACAAGCGUGGAAUGAAAUGUGUCGCUCUACUACGUGUGUGUGUGUGUUCUUGCGUUGUGAUGUCCCCCUCUUCUAUUCCUGAGUCCCUCCUUUUAUAGCUCCAAGGAGAGACAAAGGGUACAUGCAUAGAUAUUAGAGUAGGGAUCGAUAGCCGCAUGGAGCGCUGACCUACUCGAGGCUUCCGUACGGCAUGGCCUCGAGCCGUCCCAUCCUGAUAGCUUGGUGAUGAUUACGCAUGCUCCCGCGUGCUACCCUGCCAGCCGCCUUGUGCUGGUUCUGAGGUCGCACGCUCGUAUGGUAUGGUGGCGGAUCCGGCGGAGCAGCUGUGGUGUUGUCAGUCGACGCCCGACUUGUCCCCGGGAAGGGACCUCGUUCGGUCGAGGGUCGGGCGCCGCGUAAUAGGCUGAUAUCCGGAGCGCUGACCUUGGGUGUCUCGAGGGGGUCCCGAUUAGACGUUCCAUCCUCGUUUCCUGCGUCCUGACACACCCUGGGUCGUUCGGUGGGAAGGCUGCAAAAAGAACGAUGGGACAGAAGCUUGUUCCCUAUCACGCCUUCCGUGACCCGUGUGUUAGGUGGGAAACGUCAGAUGCAUUUAAUGCUCCCGCCCGCGUGCGCGCGUCAGGCGGCGGACAGUGUCCUAACGCUCGACGUCUCUCGAUUCGCUCGAGCCCGCUUCCGUCUUCGACGGUAGUCGUUGCUCGAGCCCUGACCGAUUCGCUCGACGCUAUUUCCGUAUUCGAGGCUGCGACCGUCGAUGGCGGCGCGUAAGUAAGAUUAAAGCGUCGAAUUGGGGGUCCCAACCUUCGUACGGGCAAUCUCAUAAUGCGCAUCGCUGAGGGUACCCCUUACCGAUACCCUCGACAAAAGGCCCACAUGUCGGGUUUACAUAGAGAUAUUAACGUGCCGCGCAAUUAUCCUACAUCUAGAAGAGUCCAAAAGCCACGAGAACGAACGGGAGACCGGACGGGCUCGGGGGUAGGGCGCCCGCCCUGGCCUCGGGGCCAAUCAGAGCCAACUUCGCGGAUCAUGCUCCACCGACCUAAAGGAUCAAGAAAAACCGUGUGAUUAAUGUCGGUUUGAUCCGACGGCCCACAUUCACUUGGAAGGACUAUAUAAGCAGACCCCCUGGCCCCUGGAGGAGAGGACCUCAGACCCCUAAUUCAUUAUUCAUCUUGGGAGAAGAAGCCUCUGAUCAAGCCCUAGAGCCACCACAUCAAUUAGAUCUCUAGAUUAGCAUAGCUACAUAGGAUUAGAACUAGAAGGAGUCAAUCUUCCAUUGGUUUCCGGAUCUGUCAAGAGGAUUCUUGGUAAUUCCUCUACUGUUCUUCAAUUGUUCAUCUUUGUUCUUCAAUAUUGUGAAUAUGACUUUGUUCUACUUCAAUAUGUUGAUUAUGACUUUGCUCUACUUGUUUAUAUUCGCAAUUAUAUUGUUCUUAGUUUGUCAUAGUUAUAUACUUGGCUUAGUUAGAUUGGAAUUAUAUACAUGUUUAGGAUCGUAUAGCAUUUAUCCAUGUGUACAGUGGGUAAAUGAUAAGUAUUGUGUAGGCGUGGUGCGUAUACCGUAUUUAUCUAUGAUUGUACCCUAUAUGCCAUAUCGCGGGGUAGUUCAUGGUAGUGACUGCUCCAUUGAUUCUUAUAUAGUCCCCCUCUCGUGUAUAGGGCUGGUAGAGCAACAUUAUUACAGGGGAGUGAUUGCGAUGUUUCUCAUAUUCCUUGAUAAUAUCACUAUGCAUGGGCGUAGUCCUGUCUUGCAAUGAUUGCCAAGUAUAAUUGCACUAACUAUGAUAAGCUAGACUGUAUAGUUGAGAAUAACUUAGGAAAUAUUCUUGUAGUUCAUCCUAAUUCCAUGCUAAUGACUUGCUAGAAUAUCUAAUUGAGGUGCUUAUCAUAUUUAUAUGUGGCUAAGUUAUGCUGAUCAGAUUAAUUAUCUUUGUCACCAUUCAUACUUUAUAUAUCUUUUAUGUGACAUUUAUUCCUGUAUGAAAGAGAUAGAUAAAUGCUCUCAAUUAUACAUGUAAUGAUAGAUACUCAAUUCUAUAUUCUAUUCUAUAAUCAACAUUGAUGUUUAGCAAUCCCUUCCCAGUGGUAAAAAUAUAAAUAACGAUACCUGAAAUACUUCCUGGUUAAAAUGCUACAUCGGUAUUAAUCUGUGCGCUUGCAGAUCUCAUUUAUUAUUUAUUUAGAAGAGCAAUUGCAUAUUUCAAUACCGCGUCUCUCAUGUCAUGCUGGGGAUGACAACUUGGCUUAAGUGGUAUGAGGGAUAGGUUUGGCAUUUUUGGCGCCGUUAUCAGAAUUAGAAAACUAAGUCUACUUUUGGUAGUGACAUUAAGAAUGCCCAACAACCGCAAGGCUUCAAGAAGAUAUUAUACCAAAUAGGAUACAUUACUUGUAACUCUGUUCCUUCUCAGUAUAUAAGGAGGGGUAGGGGGUCCCCUAGAGGACAACUCAACUCAAUAGAUCACAAUUCAUCUCAUAUCAUCAAUACAAUGAGAUGUAUGACGUAGGUAUUACACCCUCAUGGUGGCCAAACCUAGAUAAAAUCCUUGUUUGUGUCUUGCGUCACCAUCUAGUUCGUAGCUUGCACACCUGUCUGUCAACAAUCUACUACCUUAGACAUACCCCUAGGUAGACUGUCGACCAUAUUUCAUCAACAAAUAGUAGACGUUUGAAUGAGAGUCUUUGAUUACUUUUGUCUUGACUUGCAAACUUGCUCUAAGAUUUGAUGACCGUUGAGGGCUGUUCGAGAGUCAACCCCGAGGACACGGUGGUGACCCGGUUUCUAGUGGAGUCUGGCAAUGCUAUGAUGACGACAAAGCAGAUCGUGAUGUCGGCGUCGAGUUCCAACACGUGGGUUUCGAUCUCCGACGAUAAUUUCCUUGUGGAAUAGUCGAAAUGGAGGAAGGAUCUUUGGGACUAGCUGCAAUAUUGCUGAUAUUGAGCGACACAUUUACUACUCAAUAAGUGUGACAUUGAAACAAUUAAUAAGAGAACCCUAUCCACCAUCCCUAUUCUUUCUCACCUUCAUACGCCAAUAAGAUUCUGCGCAUAGGCAUGGCGACGAUAGGUGCAGGUAGGGGCAACGACAACUCUGGAGGUGCUUCUAGCAGGAGAGGUUUUUGAGGUGGUCAUGGUGGAGGACGCUCAGGAGGAGGAGGAAUAGGUGUUGUGCGCGGUAGUCGUAUGUCAAGGUUACGGUGCUGGGUACGACUACAAUCGCUGUAAUUAAUGAAGAUGGAGCGCACUUCUCUAGACAAUCUCAGGGUCCACCCGCCAAAUUAUGGUACUGGAGGGGAGUUUGAGUGGGGAAGAAGAGGUAGAUACGGAGGUUUUGGAUGACGUCGAGGAAAUGGAUGGGUAUUGUCAAGUUCGCAAUUUCCAACGACCACGGAUGCAACGGGUGGUAACCGUAGCAUCUUGUGCCGCAGCAGCAUCAGCCUCAGGCGGCACCGUAGCAGCUUCUGUCGCAACAGGAGGGCAACCCGGAGGUGGAGGUCCAGCAGGUCGGACUUGAGGAGCCCGAAGAAGAAGUUGAGUGCCCGAACCACGAGCCAGCCUCGUUCAUGAAAGGCAAGCCCCGGAGCAUUCUAAGCCUCCCUUUAUUUUCGAAAGUUUACUUGAAUAUGUUAUAUCUAUUGAUGCAUUAAGUAUAGGAGUUGUGAUGAAACCUUUGCUGCACUUUACUCAAUCCUUGUCCAGAUAUCUUACCACUACCUGGUUAUAGAGUUAGGAUUGAGUAGCAGCUUAGCCAUGCUUUAAUCGGUAGAAGUCGGGUGAUAUCCUGUCACCUGCGCAAUAUAGGGUUAUGUCGGACCACGAUGGUCUAUAUGUGCUAUCGUGGAUGGAACCUGAUUAAAUUGACUUAAGCCAGGCGGAGUUUUGCAAGGUUGUAGUAACUCCAUCUGUGGUAGCUAAGGACCGACCGUUGUACGUCCUCUUGUCAUGUUGAACGCAUGCCUGACACUUAGUUGGCCACAUAACUCUUUCCGACCGCGAAGCCGAGUAGUAUGACUCAGGCCGGAAGACCGGCAAGUAUAAAGUGCGCACAACCGGAGGAAGUGCGGUGUGCGGGGGACCAUUGGCAUAAGCCCAAAGGCAAGUGAGUUAAAAUUCCUGACCUCCCUGGCAGAGUGGUAGCCCUGGGAGUGCGGCGCUGAUCGGAGCCGCGAUUCCUGAGUCGUACCAAAGGUGACCCGUUGGCUCUCCGACGGGAGAUGCUUGGGUGAGUGCUAGGAAUAACCCUCCAGCUGGAUAGGAAUUCGAUUCGAAUCGCCGUCUCUCCCGGUUAGUGAGAACUUGACAGAGCAGCGGCAAACGUAGCAUUCACUAAAGAACUUUGGUUCAUGAUAAUGAUGAUAGCAAGGAAGAACAUAUGAUGAAUUUGCUAUGGUUAUUAUUGCUUGUAAUAAUCAAGUGAAGUGUUUUAGUACAGGUGCUAAUCUAGUGGUAGGCUGAUGAUGAUUAAUAUGAUGCUCUCACAACAUUGUAGUUAUAAUUUAAGCUUUUGGCAAAUAUUGAGUCAACCAGCUCUACUUGAUAUUAGCCUUGCAUGAUCCUUGGUGUCUUUUAUAUUUUACUAGACGGGUAAGUCUAGCUAAGUACAAUCUCGUACUCAGGGUUUAUUCCCACCUAUUGCAGAUGAUAUCUUUUAUGAUGGCUUUUGCAAGACCUGUCUCCAUCCCGCUGGAGAUGAGGACUAAACUGUUGGGCACGGUUCUCUAACAAUCUCGUACCUGCUGCUUUUGGAUGGAUGGUGUAUGACUCUAGCUAUAACAAGACUUGUGAAAUGAACUUUGGAAAGUGUGUGUAAUUAUUUUGCUUCCGCUACUUCGAACUUGUGUUGUAAUAUCUAAGUAACUCCGAUGUGGUGCCGCUUCGACGGCAAUGAAUGACUAUGUAACAUCCGUUGUGUUGUGUUGAACUAUUACGAUCUUGGUUUGUUGCAAGUUGGUUUGAAGUCCUUCGUGAUUUCAGUUGACUACCGGGAUUAUAUGGGCUCAAGUUUGGAAACUUGAUUGCUUGUCGAUCUUUCUACACUUGAACUCUUAUAAUUUGGUCGGUUCUGUGACAACUGACGUCAGGGGUCUAUUUAUAUAGGGGUCAAAAAGUGCCUCUAGGGUUUGUUCGGGUUACUCCCGCCGCCGUGCGUGCGAAACUUUCCAUCUGUAGGAUUAUUUGGUUUACCAUAAAUGUGUUUAUCGCGACGGGGGAAAUCAGGACCGAGAGGGGACAGGGGCUGGGCGCCCGCCCUCUUCAUCAGGGUGCCCGCCCUGUACCUAGCUCCUCUGUGGGCCUGCUUCCUCGAGCGUGCUUCUAGAUGCAAAACUUAUUAGGAAAAUAUAUACAUGGCCCUAAAACGUCAGAUUAAAAAGGUUGGGCUCUAAAUCUCCAUGGGAAGGUAGAAAUGGAUUAUGUCUAUUUCUUCUAAUUCAUUAUUGGGCUCUAAAAAUAAUUUAAGACGUUGACCAUUUACCUUGAAUAACGUACCUUCGUCAUUUUGAAAUGUGAUAGCUCCGUGGGAUGAUGAAUUGAUUACCUUGAAUGGUCCUUCCCAUUUACUCCAGAGUUUUCCAUGCCCAAAAAGCUUCACCCUGGAAUUAAAAAGUAAUACCUUAUCUUUAGGUGCGAACUCCUUCUUGAUCCUCUUGUCAUGCCACCUUUUGACUCUUUCUUUGUAGAUCUUCGAAUUGUGAUAUGCUUUCUCUCGCCAUUCUUCCAAUUCUGAUAGUUUCAUUCUUCUAUGGUCUCCAGCGAUAUCUAGGUCCAUAUUCCAUCUCCUUAUGGCCCAGUGUGCUUUGAAUUCUAGUUCAACAGGUAGGUGGCAAGUCUUCCCAUACACCAAUUGGUAUGGGGACAUUCCAAUUUGGGUCUUGUAUGCUGUCCGGUAUGCCCAGAGUGCAUCAGGUAACUUGUCUUUCCAUGUUGUUCCCAUUUCAUUGACUGUCUUCUGAAGAAUAUUCUUGAUUUGCUUGUUGGAAGUCUCUGCUUGGCCACUUGUCUGAGGAUGAUAGGGGGUAGCGACGUUGUGACGGAUUCCAUGUUUUGAUAGAUAUUGCUUGAAGCGUUUGUCGAUGAAGUGUGCUCCUCCAUCACUUAUCACUACUCUGGGAACUCCAAAUCUUGGAAAUAUAAUUUCUUCAAACAUCCUCUUUGAACUGAUGUUGUCGGCAUGCUUGCAAGGUAAUGCCUCUACCCACUUGGAGACGUAGUCAACUGCCACCAAGAUGAACUCACACUUCCUUGAUGGGGGAAAUGGACCCAUGUAAUAUAUUCCCCAGACAUCAAAGAGCUCAAUCUUAAGGUUGUUGGUGAGUGGCAUGGCAUCUCUUGUGUUUAUGUUUCCAUGCCUUUGACAUGUCCCACAUCUUCUGAUAUAUUGCUUCAUGUCUUCAUACAUUGUAGGCCAGUAGAAUCCACACUGCCAUAUCUUUGAAUGUGUACGGAAUGCUCCAUAAUGACCUCCAUAUGGUGAUGAAUGACAUUUGUUGAUGAUCUUCCAUCCUUCCUCAGUGGUCACACACCUCCUGAGUAAGCCAUCAGAGCAUACUCGGAAGAGGUAUGGCUCAUCCCAUAUAUGUGAACGACUUUCUUGAAUAAGCUUCUUCUUGUUUGCUCCUAGUGGUUAAUACCCUGAAACCAUAGAAUUAACAAUAUCUGCAUACCAGGGGUCAGACCUGUUAAUCCCGUAGAGCAUGUUGUCCCGGAGUGAAUCAUUGAUGGGGGUUUCCUCUGUACUCUUAAAAUACAUUCUAGACAAGUGAUCAGCAAUAGAAUUUUCUAUUCCCUUUUUAUCUUUUAUUUCUAAGUCAAAUUCUUGAAGUAAUAAGAUCCAUCUAAUCAGGCGAGGUUUAGCAUCUUUUUUAGUGAGCAGAUAUUUUAGUGCAGCAUGAUCAGUGUAAACAAUUAUUUUAGCUCCAACUAAAUAAGAUCUAAAUUUAUCAAUGGCAAAAACAAUAGCCAGAAGCUCUUUUUCAGUGGUUGCAUAAUUAAGUUGAGCUCCUGUCAAAGUUUUACUGGCAUAAGCAAUUGCAUGAUGCUUCUUAUUUUUAGUUUGUCCCAAAACUGCCCCCACAGCAUAAUCACUAGCAUCACACAUGAUUUCAAAAGGCAACGACCAAUCAGGGGGUUGAAUGAUUGGUGCAGAGAUGAGUGCAUUCUUUAAUACAUUGAAAGAUGUUAGGCAUGCAUCAUCAAAUUCGAAAGGAGCAUCCUUGGCUAGCAAAAGAGUAAGUGGUGUAGCAAUGAAUAAAAAAUCUUUUAUGAAUCUGCGAUAAAAACCAGCAUGGCCAAGAAAGCUUCGAAUUCCUUUUAUAUCAACAGGUGGAGGUAGUUGUUCAAUUACUUCAAUUUUAGCUCUGUCUACCUCAAUACCUCUUUCAGACACUAGGUGUCCCAGCACUAUUCCUUCCCUAACCAUAAAAUGACAUUUUUCCCAAUUAAGGACUAAGUGCUUUUCUUCACAUCUUUGCAAAACGUUGUCUAAGUUUUGAAGACAACUAUCAAAAGUUUUUCCAUAAACAGAGAAAUCAUCCAUGAAAACUUCCAUAAUCUCUUCAAUCAUAUCAGAAAAUAUAGACAUCAUGCAUCUUUGAAAAGAAGCUGGUGCAUUACAUAACCCAAAAGACAUUCUACGGUAAGCAUAAGUUCCGUAUGGGCAUGUAAAAGUGGUUUUGCUUUGAUCAUCGGGAUGGAUCGGGAUCUGGUGAUACCCUAAAUAUCCAUCUAAGAAACAGAAGAACGAAUGGUUCGCUAAUCGCUCUAGCAUCUCAUCUAUGAAAGGUAAAGGAAAAUGAUCCUUUCUCGUGGCUUUGUUCAGUCUUCUAUAGUCUAUGCACAUCCUCCAUCCUAUGACGGGGCGUUGCGGAAUUAGCUCGUUCUUUUUAUUCAUAAUGGCAGUCAUGCCUCCCUUUUUAGGCACAACUUGAACUGGGCUUACCCACUCACUGUGCAGCACAGGAUAUAUAAUCCCUGCAUGCAGCAACUUUAUAACUUCCUUUUUAACUACCUCUCUCAUCGCGUUGUUAAGUCUACAUUGGGGCUCUCGAGAAGGUGGAACGCAAGGAUCUGUCGGAAUACGAUGGGUACAAAUCAUAGGACUGAUUCCUGUAAGAUCUUGGAGUGAGUAGCCAAAAACUGAGUGAUGUUUCUCAAGAAUGGUCAUCAAUCGCAGAGUUUGCUCCUGAGUGAGUUUAUCACUAAUGAUCACAGGAAACUCUGGAUUAUUGUUUAGGAAAGCAUAGAUAAGACCGGGUGGUAAAGUUUUAAGCUCUAUGGGAGGUCUAGGCGUUUCUGCAAACUCGUCUAAAGGUUCAGGUUCAGAAGGUUCGGCCUCUUCUUCUGUGAAGAAAGGAGCUUCAUCUUCUAAGUCUGGUUUAUCUAAAAGCUCUAGAGAUGAAGCCUUUACCUCCUCCAUAGGAUCAGGCAAAAGAUAUGACUCGACCUUAUUAUUUAAGGAGUGUGAAAUUGUUAUUGGAAAUUUAAAAGUUUUUCCAAAAGAAAUGUGUAGCUUUCCAGUAUGACCUUCAUAAAGGAGUCUUCUAAAAGGUUGUCCUAUCAACAGGUCGAAGUCCCAUGUAUCAAAGAUAUAGAAGUUCAAAUGAACCAUGGAGCCUUCUACCAUAUGGAGUAGGACAUUAAUAAUUCCAAGACUGGGGACUAAUCGUCCCGAAGAUUCCUUUAUGACCUUUGUUGUGGGGGUUAAGACCAAAUUUUUAAAUAAUUUAAGUGCAAAAGAUUCAGACAUGAUGUUGAUCCCCACAACAGGAUUAUAGAGAGCAUCAAAUUGAUCAGAAUCAUAAGCACAACGUAUAGUUAUAGAAGGUGUGUCCAAACGGAUCACAUCAGAGGAAAGGUCUGACUCCUCCAACCAUUCGCUACUCAUGACUGCGAUAAGCUCUCUCAAUUGAUGUUUAGUUGGCAAACAAAUGCUAAAAUGGUCAUUUUGGGGUCUGUCAAUAGAAUGGUAGUUUGAAAUGUUUCCAAAAUCGGCAAAAAGAUCAGAUUCUAUAUCCAGCAUGAAAUCAGGUGGUGGAAUUUCUUCCUUUUGUGGCUCAGAACUUGUGAUAGCUAAAGUAGAUGGAGAAUUUGACAGAGUGUCUACUUCGGCUUCGUGGAUUUCAUCAUGAAGGGUAUUAUCCAUCUCAGCUUCUAGGAUUCUAUCUAGGAUCACUCUAGCAUCAUCAGUAGGGAUGCGAAAGAAAGAACCUCUAGACAUUGUAUGUAGCAUUUGUUUAUGAUCUUUCUGAAGACCUCGAAAGAAGUGAAAUAAAAGAACAGGGUCUUCAAGAUUAAGGUUUUGACCAGAUUCUAAAAGAUCAGAAAACGUUUCUAGGAUUUUCCUAAAGUUUCAUUAUCUUUUUGUUUAAAAGAUAGGACUUCGAGUCUAAGGUCGCCGAUACGGCCGAGGGACUAAAAAUCUAGGCAAAAGUUUGGCUCGUAAAACUCCCCAUUCACCUCGUUGUUGACUUACCUUCUGAUUAUACCAUUGUCUAGCUUCUCCCCUUAAAGAAAAAGGAAAAAGCUUCCAACGUAAAGUUUUAUCAGAAAUGCCUUCAAUGCGAAGACAAUCACAUGUUUGCUCAAAAUCUCUAAUAUGAAGGUAAGGGUUUUCGUCUUCCUUUUUUGAAAAGGAUAGGUUUUGAAUCAUGGCAAUCAACCUGGAACUUAACCUAUACUGGGAUGUUUGGAUAGGCUGUGAUGACUCCCAUGGUAAAAGGUCAGUUUCUGAAGGUGUUGCAAAUUGAUAAGGUAAGAAUAAAGAAAAUAAAUAAAGAAUAUAAAAGAUAAGAAAAGAUAAAAGUAUAGAUACAAGCUAGUAGUAAGACUCAAGGUUAUCUCAGCAAACCGUCUUUCUCCCCGGCAACGGCGCCAGAAAUGCUUGUUGAUAUUUGGGAACGCAAUAAGAAAUUUGUCGAGGGUAUCAGUAAGGGGUACCCUCACCGAUGCCUAUAACGAGAUUACCCGUACGCAGGUCGAGGCCCACAACUCGAUGCUCUGGUCAUGCACGUACAGUCAUCGACGACCGCAGCCUCGAAGACAGAAAGGGCGUCGAGCGAAUCGCUCAGGAGGUCGAGCGCCAACUACCGUCGAGUACGGAAAUAGGCUCGAGCGAAUCGGGAAGCGUCGAGCGCAGGGACACUGUCCGCCGCCUGACGCGCGCACGAGAGCCAGGGCAUUUAAUGCGCCAGUCGCUUUCCCGCCUAACACGCUGGUCACGGGAGGCGUGAUAGGAAACAGGCACCCGUCCCAUCGUUCUUUUUGCAGCCUUCCCUACCAAACGACCCAGAGCAUGUCAGGACGCGGGAAGUAGGGACGGAACGUCUAAUCAGGACCCCCUCGAGAGAACCAAGGUCAGCGCUCCGGAUAUCAGGGCAUUGCACGGCGUCCGACCCUCGACCAGACAUGGUUCCUUCCUGGGGACGAGUUGGGCGUCGACUGGCAGCACUGCAACCACUCCACCGGAUCCGCCACCAUACCGUACAGGCGUGCGACCGGUGAACCAGCCCAAGACGACGCGCAGAGCGGGAUACAGGGGCACGCGUAAUCAUCAUCAAGCUACCAAGACGGGACGGUUCGAGACCACGCCGGUACGGAGGCCUCGAGUAGGUCCGCGCGCCAUAUCCCUAUCGACCCCUACUCUGAUACCUACACAUGUACCCUGGUCUUCCCCUUGGAACUAUAAAAGGGGGAGCCCGGGAGCGACCACGGCAGGGCAAAAACACACAACACUACACCCAUACGCAGUAGAACUCUCAUACUCCAUACCACGCUUGUAUUCGCCGCUGUACAAGCACUUCGGUGCAAGAUAAUACAAACUCCCCUCCCCCGCUGGACGUAGGGCCUUCUCUUGCCCGAACCAGGAUAAAUCUCUGUGUCUUCUUGCAUCACCAUCUGGGAAAGGGAGCACGCAUACAAAUUUACUCGUUGGAGUGACCCCCCAUGGGGAAAACACCGACAGUUGGCGCGCCAGGUAGGGGUCCUGCGUGUUUUUUCAUCGAUUUCCCACUCCUUUCCAGAUGGCCACUCUCGCUUCGCCGAUUCCACGCUCUACGGUGAUUUGGUUUGGGAGUCUUGAGUUCAUGUCGACUGGCUCCGGCUAUGACAUGAUCUUACUCUCGAUCAAAGGACCGGGAGGAGCCCGCGUUGCGCCAGCACGGUUGAGGGCCCUGAGACGCCCUCGCCACCACGCCUCCCCGCCCAAAAAGAGGCGUGGACAGCGUCAUCGUCGCCCCUCUGCCUCGUCACGACCAGCAGUUCGCGCUAGGCAAGAGGUGACACAGGAGUCGGCGGCCCCACGUGCCGGAACCGUGGACAUGUUGGUUCAGCGUCACACGACGACAAGAGGUGACACACCCGCCUCCAGGUUACUUCCACACGGGUUGUUCACUCCAAGAAGGGCACUGCCAUUCGGACUAGACAACACCGCGGCGUCGCUCGUCAGAGCGAUAUGCCCAAAUACCCAGACGUACGUGGAGAGACCAAUGGUUCUCCCGCGUAACUACGAAGCACAGCAGCCGACGUCCGAGCUGCCGGAUUUCUCCCAGGUGCGAGGCCUCCGUCGCCUAGGCCCUGGACAAUACACGAUCACCUCACUCAGGCAGCGGCUGCUGGAGGAGGGAUGUGGUUGUUUCUAUGCCGCCAAGCCGGACUCCGACUCCGAGACCGAUAGCUACGACCCUACUAGGGAAUGCUACCACAUCGACGGGGCGGUGGAAACUACCGACGAGACGCAGGACGCAGCUGCGGGCGGCCGAGCCCCUGCAGCAAGGGAAGACCCCAGGACGCCUAGGAACGGCGGACAGGUCGACCCACUUCCACAGGAAGACAGGGCUGUGUAGCUUGAGCAGCUACGUGAGCUCAAGACCAAGCUCGACGAAGACCGUGAGCGCCUCGUCCUACUCGAGCAAAUCCUCGAACAAGACUUGCCUUACCCGCCCGGCGGGAGUGUCCGUAGGCGAGCUCGAGAGGUACACCGGCAAAUCGUCAGAGACGCAGAGCCAGAGCAGCCCGUCAGCCGCUUCCCUCGAGCAGGCCAAAAUGUAGUGGCAGCGACAAUGCUGCUGCGCAAUAUGCCGGAGCCAUCGAACUCCCAAGCUCGACGUAUUAGAGACGAGGUGCAGACUCUGCUCCAGGUAGCGGCAGUACAACAAGCCGAAAGCUCGGCCUCUCGACGACGAGGAGCCGCCACUGAAAAAUGCGAUGAGUCACUCCAAAAUGAAAAGGAGGUGUCAGUCCAUCAACAGCCGCCCCCUCGAGGAAGAAAGACCACUCUCGUCCUCCCCGUCGACAAUCAGCGUCGACACGACGCGCGGCAUGACAUCGAAGAGAAUCGACGCCGCCGACAUGGAGACGCGGAAGAACGUGGUUACAGCGCACAUCGUGGCGGGAGAUACGACAGCGACGAGGACCGGAUGGCCCCCGAGCCACCAGGCCCACGGGUGUUCAGCAGGGCAAUCCGCAGCACGCCCCUACCCAGUCCGUUCCGACCCCCGACCAGCAUCGCAAAAUACAACGGUGAGACCAAGCCAGAAUUGUGGUUAGCCGACUUUAGGCUGGCCUGUCUGUUGGGGGGAGCUCGAGGUGACGAUCGAGCCAUCAUCAGACAGCUACCGCUUUUUCUCUCUGAUACCGCCCGUCGAUGGCUCGAGGAACUUCCAGCUAAUCAGAUCCACGACUGGGUCGAUUUGGUUAGGGUCUUCGAGGGUAAUUUCAAAGGGACCUACAUACGGCCCGGGAACUCGUGGGACCUCAGCAAGUGCAAGCAGAAGCCAGGAGAAACUCUUCGAGAGUAUGCUCGACGCUUCUCAAAGCAGCGCACCGAGCUGCCACAUAUCCCUGACCAUGAUGUCAUCCUGGCCUUUGUCUCUGGUACCACCAGUCGAGACCUGGUACGAGAAUCGGGCCGGAAUCACCCUCAAACCGUCGAUGAGCUCAUGGACGUAGUGGCAAACUACGCAGCAGGAGAGGAAGCAGUCGGUGCCUUCUUCAGUUGUGAAGGAAGGAAAGGCAAGCAGCCCGUCGAUGAAGAUGGGGCCCCCAGUCAAAGGCUCAAGAAGAAUAAGAAGAAGCAUAAAGCACGGCAGUUCUAGCGGGAAGAUUUCGACAACAACCUUGUCGCCGCCAUGGAGCGGAAGAAGCCUCGGGGCCCUCCAGAUGGAGGUAUCUUCGAUAAGAUGCUAGAGGAACCAUGCCCUUACCAUAAGGGAGGCGCCAACCACAAGCUCAAAGAUUAUCGUAUGCUGAAAAAGCAUUUCGACGGUUUGGGGUUCAAGAAGGAUGCGCGUGACGACUCGAAGAAGGAGAAGGGCGGUAACAAGGAAGACAACAAAGACGACUAUGGUUUCCCCGCCGUUCACGACUGCUACAUGAUCUAUGGUGGGCCCUCAACGCAGUUGACUGCGAGGCAGCGCAAAAGGGAACGGCGUGAAGUUUUCGCGGCAAGAAUGGCGGUGCCCCAGUACCUCAACUGGUCGAGCACACCCAUCACCUUUGAUCGAGAGGACCACCCUGACAAGGUAGUCGCCCUAGGCGUCUACCCGCUCGUCGUCGACCCCAUCAUCGUCAACACCCGGCUCUCAAAAGUGCUGAUGGACGGCGGCAGCAGCCUCAACAUCAUCUACCUCGAGACCCUCGACCUCCUCGGCAUUGAUAGGGGAAGGCUCCAACCAAGCGCCGGGGGUUUCCAUGGAGUCGUGCCAGGGAAAAAGGCGCUGCCAGUAGGUCGAAUCGACCUACCAGUCUGCUUCGGCACGGCGGCCAACUUCAGAAAGGAGACCCUCACCUUUGAGGUGGUCGGGUUUUGAGGCACGUACAAUGCCAUCAUCGGGCGCCCGGGCUACGCCAAGUUCAUGGCUAUACCCAACUAUACCUAUUUGAAGCUGAAGAUGCCCGGUCCUAAGGGCGUCAUGACCGUCAGCUCCUCCUUCGAGCACGCUUACGAGUGCGACAUCGAGUGCGUCGAGUAUGGGGAGGCAGUUGAGAACUCCACCGAGCUUGUCGCGAAACUCGAGGCUCUGGCCACUGAGGCUCCAUAGCCCAAGCACCACGCGGGCAGCUUUGAGCCAGCAGAGGGAACCAAGAAGAUCCCGCUCGACCCUAACAACUCCGAUGGCAAGGUGCCGACGAUCAGCGCCGACCUCGACCCCAAAUAGGAAGCUGUGCUCGUCGACUUUCUCCGUGCGAACGCCGACAUGUUUGCAUGGAUCCCCUCGGACAUGCCUGGCAUACCGAGGGAAGUCGCCGAGCACUCCUUGGAAAUUCGAGCCGGUUCCAAGCUAGUGAAGCAACGGUUGCGCCGAUUCGACGAGGAGAAGCGCAAGAUCAUUGGCGAGGAGGUCCACAAGCUGUUGACGGCCGGAUUCAUCAAGGAGGUUCACCAUCCCGACUGGUUAGCAAACCCUGUACUAGUUAAGAAAAAGAAUGGGAAAAUGAGGAUGUGUGUCGAUUAUACGGGUUUAAAUAAAGCAUGUCCGAAAGUUCCCUUUCCAUUACCACGUAUUGAUCAAAUUGUUGAUUCUACUGCGGGAUGUGAAACCCUUUCUUUCCUGGAUGCAUAUUCUGGUUACCAUCAAAUAAAAAUGAAAGAGUCCGACCAGCUCGCGACCUCUUUCAUCACACCUUUUGGGAUGUAUUGCUAUGUAACCAUGCCGUUUGGGCAUCGAAAUGCGGGAGCCACGUACCAACGCUGCAUGCUCCACGUAUUUGGCAAGCACAUAGGGUCGACGGUUGAGGCCUAUGUUCACGACAUUGUCAUCAAAUCAAAGCGGCGAGGAGACCUGAUCCAGGACCUCGAGAUCACUUUUAGCUGCUUACGCACCAACCAGAUCAAGCUCAAUCCCGAGAAAUGCGUUUUCGGCGUGCCUCGAGGCAUGCUCUUGGGUUACAUUGUUUUCCAGCGCGGCAUCGAGGCCAACCCCGAGAAAGUCUCGGCCAUCACAAGAAUGGGGCCGAUCCGAGACGUCAAGGGUGUGCAGAGGGUCAUAGGAUGACUAGCGGCGUUGAGCCGUUUCAUCUCGAGAUUAGGAGAAAAGGCGUUACCACUAUAUCGACUCUUGAAGAAGGUCGAGCGCUUUUCUUGGACCCCCGAGGCCGAGGAAGCCCUCGAAAAUCUGAAGAAAACACUGACCUCAGCACCGGUCCUGGUCCCGCCUCAACCUGCGGAACCACUGCUCCUUUACGUCGCCUCGACAACCCAGGUUGUCAGUGCAGCGGUGGUAGUCGAGAGGCAGGAAGAGGGGCACGCGUUGCCAGUCCAGAGGCUGGUCUAUUUCGUCAGCGAGGUGCUCUCGGAGACCAAGGCACGUUACCCCCAAAUCCAGAAGCUGAUCUAUGCCAUGAUCCUCGCCCGCCGCAAGCUGCAGCACUACUUCCUCGGCCACCCUAUCACGGUGGUCUCGUCUUUCCCCCUGGGCGAGAUAAUCCAGAGUAAGGAGGCCACAGGAAGAAUAGCUAAAUGGUCGGUCGAGCUCAUGGGUGAGACUCUCACUUAUGCGCCUCGCAAGGCCAUCAAAUCGCAAGCCCUGGUGGACUUCGUCGCGGAAUGGACAGACUCCCAGCUUCCCCCGACUCAGAUCCAGUUGGAGCUGUGGACGAUGUAUUUCGACGGGUCGCUCAUGAAAACAGGGGUCGGGGCCGGCCUGCUGUUCAUCUCGCCCUUAGGCGUCCAUAUGAGGUACGUCAUUAGGAUCCACUUUGCCACGUCUAACAAUGUCGCGGAAUACGAGGCCCUCGUCAACGGUCUCAAGAUCGCUAUCGAGCUAGGAGUCCGACGCCUCGACGUCUGAGGCGACUCCCAACUCGUCAUCGACCAAGUGAUGAAGACCUCGAGCUGCGACGACCCAAAAAUGGAGGCAUACUGCAAGGAAGUCCGUCGACUUGAGGACAAAUUCCAUGGCCUUGAGCUCGUCCACAUCGCCCGACGCUACAACGAGGUAGCCGACGAACUCGCCAAGAUCGCGUCGACCCGGGGCACGGUACCCCCUGACGCGUUCUCAAGAGAUCUUCACGAACCGUCUGUCGACUUGGGCUCGGGGGCUGGCGUCGAUGCCGCUCCUGCCCAGCAAACCCACACCGUCGACAUGCUAUUGAUGGCAGCCGAGGUGAUGGAAGUAGACUGGCGGCCCGGUCGGCCGUUCGACUGGUGCACACCAUUCCUCGACUGCCUAAUCCGCUGCGAGCUACCAGAAGAUCGAUCUGAGGCCCGCCGUAUCGCUCGACGGGCCAAGUCAUACGUAAUCUAUGACGAAGACAACAAACUAUACCGACGAAGCCCGACGGGGGUCUUGCAGCGUUGCAUCACUGUGGAAGAAGGCCGGAAACUCCUCGAGGACCUACACUCGGGGGCUUGUGGUCACCAUGCUGCUCCACGGACCCUUGUAGGGAACGCCUUCCGACAAGGUUUCUACUGGCCAACGGCCGUAGCUGACGCCAUCGAGCUCGUACGCUCAUGUCAUGGGUGCCAGUUCUACGCCAAACAGACGCAUCUACCCGCCCACGCCCUUCAGAUGAUCCCCAUCACAUGGCCAUUUGCGGUAUGGGGGCUCGACUUAGUAGGGCCCCUACAAAAGACGAAAGGAGGGUACACCCACUUGCUGGUGGCCAUCGACAAAUUCUCCAAAUGGAUCGAGGCUCGACCCAUCACCAACAUCCGCUCCGAGCAGGCCGUCCUUUUCUUCACCGACAUUAUCCACCGGUUUGGGAUUCCCAACGUCAUCAUCACCGACAAUGGCACUCAGUUCACCGGCAAAAAGUUCUUGGACUUCUGUGAUCAGCAUCACAUCCGUGUGAACUGGUCUGCAGUAGCCCACCAUCGAACUAACGGCCAGGUCGAGCGUGCCAACGACAUGAUUUUGCAAGGAUCUACAAUUGCUUGAAGAAAUUCGGCAAGAGGUGGAUCGAAGAGCUUUCCUCGGUCCUAUGGAGCCUAAGGACAACACCAAGCAGGGCCACAAAAUACACCCCAUUCUUCAUGGUCUACGGCUCUGAGGCGGUCCUCCCCACAGACCUCGAGUAUGGAUCCCCUCGACUUAAAGCGUACAAUGAGCAGUCAAAUAAGGAGACUCAAGAAAACGCAGUCGACCAACUCGAGGAGGCUCGGGACAUGGCCCUCCUUAACUCUGCCAGAUACCAGCAGAAACUUCGACGCUACCACGACAAACACGUACGCAAGAGGGACUUAAACGUGGGGACCUUGUCCUGCGACGACGGCAAAGCAAUCAAGGACGCCACAAGCUGACUCCACCUUGGGAAGGCCCGUACGUGGUGGCCGAGGUCUUGAAGCCAGGAACGUACAAGUUAGCGAACGAGAAGGGGGUGAUCUUCACCAACGCAUGGAACAUCGAACAGCUACAUCGAUUCUACCCUUAGAAUUUCGAAACUUUAUGUUCCAGCACCCAUUCUGUACCAAGACUUUGUAAAUGAAUGCAUGAAUAAAUAAAGUCUUUCCCUUGAGCAACUUCCUUUUGUACCAACGCUGUACAAGUUAAAAUCUCGACGUCACAAGGGGGCGCCGACUAUGACCCAUCAUAGUCAGCACCCCCUCGGGGGCCACCAGGGGGGCCACCCCCCCACGUGUCGAAAAAGCCAAGAAAUUCUUUCUUCCUUACUUUGUAAACUUUGCACGAUUCGAGUAGCGGAGGCGCCUCGAGCCCCUCGAGGCCCGAGGGACAACGAGCCUGAGAACUCCUACGCCCCCGGGCUACGAAAACUCUACUCAUUUCCCCACCCUUGAGGUGGUCGAGGCUGUUUUUGACGAAAGAUCGAACAAGGAAUACAAACAUAGGCGCAAAAGGGAAUAAAAGAGCCUCGAGCGGAAAGACAGAUAAACAUUUAAAUAUACUGUAUCACUUAAAAAACAAGUUGAUAGGAAUACUAUACAAGGGGCCCCAGGCACCCAAAGGAGGCUCGCAGGCCUUAGUCCUCAGCACGAUCCUCACCUACGCCCGAGCUAGUCUCAGGAGGAAGCACCUCAGGCUCAAAUAGCUUGGCCAGCCUCUCCCCAGGAGCCUCCGCAUCGUCGAUCAAGGCGUGGAGCCUCUCUUCGUUCUCCGUGUCGGUCUUAGAGAUGUCGGUGACGAACCCAUGGGACACCACCUCCAUGUCGUAGGAGAAGCCCGAGCAGACAACCGCCAUCGCCCGUUUCACCCCGAUGUGGAGGGCAUCCUGCACCCGAUCUCGCAGCAUUGUGCCUAAGUAGCACAGCUGGUCGACCAGUGCAUCGCCUCGAGCGUCCUCCUUCGACUCAUCCAUAGGCUCGAUCUCCCAGGAGGUCAAGAGAUCACUUAUCGCCGUUCGCACUCGACGGUUCAAAGCAACCUCCGCCUCGAGCUGGGCCUUAGCAUUGCGGGCCUCGGCUUGGGCGGCCAAGAGUUCGUCCUUAAGCCCUAAUAAACACCAAUACAAGAAACUUUAGGGUAAACCAAGCACGCCUCGAAAAAGAAAUCCAACAAUAGAAACAUACCGCGGACAUUCUCCUCCAGGGCCGUGUUCUCAUCGACUAAUCUGGUGUUGGCCCUCUCGAUCUCUUUGUUGGAGCGUGCCAGCUCAGUGUUGGCAACGCAGAGAUCCUCGAUCGCCUUGCCACCCUGAGCUAUGGACCCGCUCUUCUUCAACAGCUCUCCCUUCAGACGUUCGACGUCGUCAGAGAGCCCGCGGGAUCGAGCCCGCUCCGCCUCGAGAUCUUCGAGGGCCUUCUUCUUUGCGUCCUCUGCGGCACCCCUGGCGACCUCGCCGUCCACAUACGCCACCUUCAUCUUUUGGAAGGAUUCUCGGAGGGAAUCCAGGUCGGUCUUGAGAAGGCCCUUCUCCCUAUCCAGAUCAGCAAUGACGUUCUUAUAAGACAGGGCCUCCUCCCGGGCUUUAGACGCGGCCUCCUCGACCGCUAGAGCCCGCUCCCGCAGUAGCGUCGUCUCCUCCUCCGCGUUCCUUGAAGCCUCUCGAGCCUCGACCAAGGUAGCCUCCCUCGCCUUCUUCUCCUCCUCGAGCGCUAUAAGGUCUUUAUAGGCCUUAAGGAGCUUUUCUUGUGACUCGAGGAGUUGGUCCUUGAGGACGGGGAGCUGCUCCCAGCCUCCUCUUGUGGCGUGGAUGAAGCUCGACUUGAUACGGGAGGUCUCUUUCAUGUCCUGCGAGCCGAGGGUCGAACGGUUAGAACAUGAAACCAAAGGAUCUAUGAGAAUUAAGGACCAAAAAAUACUUACAAAGUAGGCCGGCCCGAGCCCGUUGUUGAUGACGUCCGCCAGGAGCCCCACCACGUGCUUCAUCCAAAGGCGGAGCUCCUCGACGUGUUCCCAUUUCUCCGCCUCCUUCCUAUUGUCCAGGAAGAUGUUGGGCUCGGACGGAUCGGUGGAGGCCCGGAUGCGGAUCCGAUCGGGGCACCAGUGCUCCAUCUCCCAGUCAGCCCGCGCCUUGACACCGCGGAUAAGGUCCUCGACGGUCUCGAGGGAGCCCCCAUGGCGCAAGAACAGGUCGACGAGGCAUGGGAACCGCCUAUCGUCGUCCACCGUCUUCCAGGUACCGUCCUUACUCCCCGAUGUCCCAGCCUCAUCCUCCUCGGUAGGGAUGCGAUCCUCCCACGCCCGGCGCUCCCGGAGGAACCCUGGUGCGAUCCCGUCCAUGUCGUAGAUCGUCCUCUUGAUCUCGGACUCGGGGUCAACGGGGGUGCGCAUUAUACAGGCAAGCGCCACCACACCGUCCGCCCGCCCCGGCUCUGCCCGGAUCGCAGCGGGCGCCCCCGGAAGAAGCCACGAUGGGGUUGGAGGGCCGUACACCGGCAAAUCCUCUUCCUGCUCUCCGGGUUCUUGCGGCGCCGGUGGAACGGGUUGUGGCGGACUUUGAGGUGGGGGCUCGAGCGGUCCCCCUUCUUGGCCCCCCUGCUGCUGCUGUUCCUCCUGCUGCCGCUGCUGUUGCUGCUGCUGUUCCUCCUGCUGCCGCUGCUGUUGCUGUUGCUGCUCCUGCGGCUGCCGCGCUGCCUCGCGCUCCCGCUCCUCCUCCUCCUCUUUCUUCUUCUGCUCCUAGAGGGAGCGAAGACCGGCGGGCUAGGGAGUCCGUCCCGCGAUGAGGGAGGUGACGCCUCCUCCUCCAUAGGGCGGGCAUCCCCCGACGCCUCGUUGCCACCAGACGUGUCGCUGAUGGUGAUGGGGUCCGCCUCGACUCCCGAUCGAGGAGGCUCGGGGGCUCCUUCUUGCCCCUGAGUUUGGGGCGCCUCGACACGUGUCAACGACAACGGGGUAGGCUCGGGACUAGGCGGAGCACUCUCAGCCUCGGCUGGAGGUUGAGAGUUGGAGGAGCCUGCAAAACAAAGAAUAGAAGUCAGUCACUAUAAUAAUCAACGCAAGAGCGUCACAAGACCAGCAGUAAGCUACAAACCUGGCUCUUUGGAGACUGCUCCCGCUUUGAGCCUUUUCGCCAUUGAAGGCUGGGCCUGCUCGAGCGUCCGCUUUAGCCUGAGAAAAGAAAGGAACGACCGUAAAAAGAUCGGCAUAUGAGAAAAUGCAGAGGAACAGGAAAACAAACGUCACAGCGUCGAUGAAGCUUACCCCACAGGGAGAACAGCUCGCCUCCCGGUGCCCCGACCGGUGGGCCUCGAGCCACCCCGCGUCAAGGCUCCAGGCCCCUCGAGGACAGGAGCUGGCCUUGGCGCAGCAACUCCCGCUUGGCGGGCACCGGGAUUGGCGCUCCUGCAGCCGGCCUCUCCUUUCUCGGAGGCCGCGGCGCGACCACGAGUCAGUGGCCCCAUCGCCUGGGGCCUAGCAUGGCCGCCCCCUAGACGCAGGGGGAGGGCGUGGCGCGACCUGACCAGCCAUGGGCGCAGGAGGGGUGACGGCCCGAGGGCGGUGAGAUCCGCCCGGACCCUCCUUUGGAGUUUCCGUUCGGGGGGCGUCGACGUCGCCUCGAGGCAGACCCUCGAGGAUCCGGUCAAGGCGCGACGCCAUCCCCUCGGAGUCAUCGCUGUCCUCAUCAUCAUCAUCGUCGUCGCUGGUGGAUUCAUCCUCAGGCUCCCCCCUCUGCCUGGAUUUAGCUCGACGCGCCUCUAAUGCUUGGCGGUUGAGGUUCUUCUUUUUCUCACCUUUCUUCGCAGAGUCCUUGGCGGACUUCAGCUUCUCGGCGGACUGGCACCGUCUGUCGCGGUCGACCUCGUCCUCCUUCAUAGGGGGCCUCGAAGACCGGACAUCAAUGCGUCCCUGCCAGAACAAAGGUAGGCUUAAAAAGGAUCGAAGGAAAUCUAGAGUCGGAGCUAUGUGCAAAAGAAGAGCAUACCAGGUCGAUUGAGCCGUCGUCGGGCCUCAUAGGGAAGCCAUUGACAUGCUCCGGCUUAAAGUCGCCGGCGAUGGCCGCCCUAACCCGGGCAGCGGUUUCAUCGUCCGCCAGGGCCUCGUUGGACAUCCGGCAUGCCUCGAGAUCCCGGGACGAAACGCCCGGCCCCAUCUCGUCCAUCCUCAGUGGCCGAGACAUCAGUGGGAGGACCCUCCGACGAUGGACGGCCGAGAGGACGAGAGCGGCGGACAGGCCCUCCAGGCGCAGCUUCUUCAGGGCAUCGAGGAGGGGGUCGAGCCACGACUAGUGUUCUUGGACGACGCCGUAUGUCCAGUUGUCCAGGCGCUCCGUAAUCAGACGAUCGGUGUAAGCAGGGAGAAGACCGUCGUCGUUCCUCAGAUAGAACCACUGGGAGUCCCAUCCGGCGUGGUUCAAUGACAACCCCACCGGGAUGUACUCGCGCGGCCUCUCCGUCUUCUUCGUCUUCAACACCAGGUUGAGGCACCCGGCCCGCACAUGCUUCCUCACGCCAGUGGUUCCGGUGGGGGCGUUGAAAAGCUCGCCCCUGUAGAGGUGGAGCCACAACUCCUAGUGGGGCAUCAACCCGAGGUAGCCCUCGCACACCGCGGCGAAGAUCGCCACGACGGUGAUGGCGUUCGGGGAGAAAUGCUGGAGCUCCACCCCAUAGUGGAGGCAGAGUGCCCGCAUGAAGCGGCUCGGGGGAGCGCCCAGGCCGUGGCGGUGGAAUUUGGCGAAUGAGACCACGUAGCCCUCGAGCGGCUGGGGCUCCCUGUGGCUUGCCGGCGGCGCAAUCCACUCCGGCGACGACAGCGAGGUGCGGCGGCGCAGGAGUCCCUCUCUCUCAAGCUCUAGCAACCGGCGCUCCGUCAUCGACGACGGGCGCCAGUCGUCGGCGGCGAUGAGUCUCAUAGGCAUCUUGGCUGGAAGGACGGAGGAUUCGCUACCGCUCGAGGGGGUGCGCGCGCGCGUGAGACGGCAAGAGAGCUAAGGCAGUGAAAGGACGAAGGCAAGAAGGCGGAAGGCGGAAGAAAGAACGGCGGCGACGCCAUGGCAUAUUUAUAGGCCGCAGUGCGCCAACGGAUAGAUCCGAUAAAUGAGGUAACUCCCCCCAUAAAUGCGCUGUCUAACGGUCCUUUCCCUCCUCACAGAUGGGACGCUCCGAAUUCCAUGCCGGCACAGUGUCGUAACGUCACCCACCUGAAAAGGCGCGCCCAACGGGCAAAAAGGUGAACCGUCAUGGCCUCUUCCUUUCCUUGUAAGCCAAGGGGCGUGCCCAUAAAAGCCUCGAGAGGUCGCAGGGUGGCCCACCGAAAGGGUUCGACAGCCGUUCUCGAGCAACCGAGUUAGGGAUCCCCAGCGAGUGAUCGAAGAUCGAGGCCCACCUCGAAGACUUGCAGGGGAUGUCCAAGGUAAGGUCGAGACAGUCGAGAGGAAUCCCCCCGACGGGAGGCAUCGAGCCACCGGACUCUAUCGAAUGAGACCGGUAUCCCCGACCACGUCGACCUUGCUUCAUGAGAACGCCUCCGGGCUACAGCUGACACCCUCGAAAGGGGCACAGGUUCUCACUUGGAUUACCCGCUAGGAACUCAAUUUGGGGUGGAAGCGAUCGAUCGAGAGAGAGAGAGACGCACAACUACGAGAGAUCGAGACUGCAAGCUAAUGAACCAAGACACCUACGACCGGCGAAGAUCCAUAGAUUCGUCCAUCGACGAGCUGAGGACGGAUCAAAGAACAUACUACACACAAGAAAUUAACUAAACAAAGGUACACGCACACACACACACAAAAUAAGAACUCAGCUCGAAACUAACGAGUACUACUACUCCGAUCCAGCAGACUGCUUCUGAGAUAAGGAGGCAGGCAGGCCAGGCAUGCAAGCUAUAGCUACUUGACGUGUUAAUUAGUUUUCCAACUCCAUCUCAGCGGUAUCGUAGACAUUGUUGCCAUUUUAUUUCUGUUUCUUGAGUGCCUUUGGUGUUGCGAGUUGAUCAAUUCCCGCAACUUGCUUUUCUUUAAUUUGGACCGUCAAUCGAGCUAGCGUGCUUGAGAGCAAUGCUAUUUUGGUGAGCUAGCUAGGUCCGGAUCUAUCUAGCUAGCUAGUACGAUACGUCUUUGAUCAUCACGCGUAAGUCGUAUGUACAUCCAUGAGAACUAAUCAACCAGCAACGUAUACAUACAUACAUACAUGUACAAUUAAGUAUGGGGUUAAUUAAUUAUGAGAAAUAGAUAAUAAACAUGGAUGCAUGUCUCGAACCAUGCAUUCUCAUUCCAUUAUUCAGAAAGCAGAGCAAACCAAGCAUUCAACUGUCUGGAUAUUACAGUGUUGGAGACAGUGCAUGCAACACGUACACAGAUUAAACAUCAUGGCCGCCUCGCGCCUUACAAGCAAAUCAAUCGGUCGAGACUCCACACACACACACACACACAACUACGACUACGAGAGCUCGAGACUUGCAAACUAAUGAACCAAGACACGACCGACGGUAAGAUCCAUCGAUCCGUCAAUCGACGAGCUGACGACGGAUCGAAGAAUAAUAUACUACUACUACAGUACACAACAAACUAAUAAUAACUAAACAAAUUAAAGGCACACAAUAAGAACGAAACUAAUAAAUACUGCUACCACUCCGAUCCAGCAGCAGACUGUGCUGCUGAGAUUCAGAGGCAUGCAGGCAGGCAAGCUAGCUAAAUAGCUACUGUGGUACGUACGGUGCUUCUGAUGGCCGGACUGCUCGAUGAUGACGAUGAAGAGGAGGAGGACGAGGACGACGACGGAGAGAUCGAUCGGAUCGAGGAGCUAGGUCAUGCUCGUUCGUCAUGCCCUUGUUGCUGGUGGGCAUGCCGUCGGGUCGCGGCUCAAGCCGCGUGCAUAGGGGAUGAUGUCCCUGCCCUCCUUGUCCUUGGGCAUCCAGAAGUUGGCGUCGACGAAAGGGUCCGCGGUGUACUGCGCCGCCUCGUGGCAGUCGGUGACAAUUCGCACGGCGGUGAUGUUGAUGCGGCGGCUCGUGUCGGCGCCGGGCCCGUAGUUGUCGUACUCCAAGUACAACACCGUUUCUGGGAUGGGGCCGCGGCCCUCCCACUCCACCCAUCCAGUGAAGUUGACGAUGGAGUCGAGGAAGCUCUCCAUGAAGAUCACGUGCGAGUGAUUCUUCCACGGCCGACCGAGGAAGGUCUUCACCCCUGUGAGGUCUGCGCCCUCGUCUGCUUUGACCGAACAGUUCUGGAAGGAGAACCCAGAUCUAUCCGUCGAGUUGCUGCGCCCUUGUGCAGUGAUUACAUUUGGCUUGCUAGCACCCAAUCCCGAGCUACGCACCAGGAGCCGGCAACCAAGAAAACUCGCCUUGGCAUAGCCAAACACGAAGUCCACGGUGCCGUGGAUGUCCGUCUCUAGAUAAAUCUGAUCUCCUUUGUUGGCGAAAAGGGUAUCCUGAUACCCCUCGAUGGAGCACCGGUAGAUCAGCGAAAAAUUGGAUUGUGACAUGAGGGCCACCGCCUGUAGGCCUUUUGGACCUGCCGUAUUUCGGAUCGUGAGAUCCUGAGCCAUGAAGGCCAUGCCAUGAACACCUGCACCAUGCAUGACAACCAGCAAAGUCAAGAAACAUUCUCACAUCAUGCAUGCAUGGGUGACCGAUCGAGAGAGGAGAUGGACGUGUGUGAUUUGAAUGAGGAUGAUCGGCACUUACUCACGGUAGCAGUGUCCGGCGUGGUUAGGUUGUCAAACCCGUAGCUCCUGUUCCCGGUGAUCACCGUCUUCCCGGCGCCUUCUCCGAUCAGGAUCACAUGCUUCCGGGUGAUGUUUAGAAUCUCAUUGUACACUCCCUCCUUGAUGAAUAUGGUGAGAAUGCUUUGCUCACUGCCAGUUUGGUCCUUUUGUGCCGCCAAAGCAGCAGUGAUGCUGGCGAACUGGCCGUCGCCGCUGGUGGCGUUCUUGGCAACAAAAACAUGUGUCGUCCCCACCAUGUUUGCGAGCGAUGGCGGCGCUCCGCCCAGGGCCAGCAGCCGCACGACCCAGAGCGGCAGCUUGCCACCGCCGGACAGCGUCUGAUCAGUGUCCAUGGUGGAGAGGACGCCCACUGUUGGUGUUGUGGGCAGCGUCACCGCCGCCGCGGCUGCUGGCGGCUGCCCACUGCUGCCUGUCGUCGUGGCUGGCGCCUCCGUGUCUGUGGUGGAGAGGCCGCUGCCGCUGCCGCUGCCGCCGCCUACUGUUGGCAGCAUCACCGCCGUAGUUGCAGCUGCAGGCGGCAGCCAGUGCCCACUGCCGCCGCCUGUCGUCGAUGGCAGCGCCUCCGUGUGGGUGCUGGAGAGGCCGCCGCCAACUGUUGGCAGCACGGUGGCAUCUGUGGCAGGCGGCUGCAUCACACUACCGCCGCCGCCGGUCACCGUUGGCAGCGCUUCCGUGGUGGUGGAGACGCCACCGGAGGUGCCGCCAGGAGCCAUGAUGGUGGUCAUCAGCAAGCACGCAAGAACAAGCGGUGUGGUGAAAGCUUGAGCCAUGGCUUCUUGAUGGAUGGAUGGAUGGAUGGAUGGAUGGAGCUGCUCACACAGUGAACCGAGCUAAGUAGGUUCUUUAUAUGCAGUAGCAGGAGAGAUCGACCGACCAGUGCGGCAGGGCAAAAGGGCCAAUAAUGCAUGCUAGGGGCACAAGCAACGGGUAAGAAGCGAGAGACAGCGCCGGAGUAGUGUAGUAUCUGUACGCGCAUACAUGUAUGCUAUGGUGUAAUCUUGGACAUUUCAUUCAAUGUAUGCCUGCCAGCGAAGCCAGUAGCAUAUAUAAAAAUUAAAACUGUCAAAGACCGACAUGCUACGUAGUACUAGUAGGUAGUAGUAUGAUCCAUCGACCUCUUCUACACCCUCUCGAUACGGCCUGACGACUGCACACCUACUACUAUGGCUAUCCAGAAACUAGAUACCCCUAAGGUAGCCGGUUCUCCUUUUCUUUUAUAGGGGGAAGUUAAAGUGUGUCUCCUACUAAAUUCACUCAAACUUGAGAUAUUUCGAUUUUAUAAGAUUCUUAAAAUAACUUAUAAUUUAGGAUGGAAGGAGUAAUUAAUAAUUUACUGCAAAAUUCAUCGCCAUCACAUUUUUUUUAAAAGAAAAGGUAUUUUGCACGUCUUUGAUAACCUUUCUUUUAAGCCUUUUCACUUAGCUAGCUAUUAUUACUACUCAAAAAGCUAAGACAUCAAUAUUAUUAUGUAUAUAAAUUAGAGGUUGUUUUACUUUAUUUCCAUUACAAAUUAUAGUCUUCGAUCUGUUCGUUCCUUCGGUUAUUUUCACACAGAGAGAAUAAUUGCAUAAUUCCCCUCUCUCUCUCUCUCUCCUAGUCUCAUUUUUUAAUCAUACCCAUUAGGGAUGUUGUUGAGGAUUCUUGAUGUCUAAAUAAAGUUAAGCUCCGACAUUUGUCUCCUUUCGAGUCUCCCAAAAGAUGCAUGAGUGGAGUUAGACUUCUCAUCGCUUUCCACAAUGAGUGUUGCAAUAUGUCUAAGAUGUUUAAUUUGUGCACCACUAUACACUAUUAAGAGCCUAGGGCAUCCAAUAGUUAUAGGAAGCCCUAGCCGAAACACCAGUUGAUCCGACCAAACCAGCUAGUCACUCAGCAACCCGCCUUGGCCCAUCCCAGCUCACCUACCUUGCCGGCCCAUCCAUCACAGUAUAUAAAUUGGGCACCUCCAAACCCUAAUCACGAGAUGCCCUCGUCCAGCCACCAGCCCACCACCGGCCAUCCACCCCCACUUGCCUCGACCGCCGACCACCGGCGGCCCUCCCCACCCACAGCGAGCGUCGUUGGCCCCCUUCCCUGGAUCUGCGCUCCCUGGAUAUGACGACGUGGAGGCGACAACCUCUAGGACCUAUUCUCAACCCGGCAUACAACAAGAUGGUUGCGGUGGUCGGGACACAAGCGGCGGCGCUGCACCUCCCCAUGAGCGCACCCCUACCGCCCCUACGAUGCCGCGGCGGUGUCCUUCCCAACCACAGCGACACCCUUCCCACCCCUGGCGGCUCCCCACCAUCCACAGCACGCCCCCAUCAUCCACGGUGAGAUCCAUAGAGGUGGCCACGGUAGCUGCCUCCCCACCAUGGCAUAAUCCAUGGAGGCAGCCACGACCAUCCCCUACCCCGACGACAGUCCAUGGAGGACCUCCCCACCAUCCAACGACAAGAUCCAUCCACCCUAGUGGCUCCCUCUGACCCUAGUCGAGGCUCGACUGCGCGGUGGCGUAAGCCAACGGUACGCGGACCGCGUGCAUGCAUUCGUGCGGGCCGCAGGGGUGUGUAGCUCUGGCCUCUCAGCGCACCUCCUCGCCAUGGCACACAGCGGCAUCCCAACACCCCCUCCAUGGCUUGGUAAGCAGAGGCAUGUGGGUCCUCCUGAGCAAGAUCUGGUGAGCAUCCACGCGAAUCUCCGGCCAAGGGCGGCGUGGGUGAUAGUUGAGGAUUUUGCCUCACCUCUCCCGGCGGCGGUGACAGUCCCCAAACACCUGCGAUGGUGCCUCCUCACAAUUUCAUAUUCCUUUUUUCUUGUCAACAUCCUCACAGCUAAGAGAUUGAUUAUAUUUUUUCUAAUUUCGAAAUUAACUAAUUUUAUGAAAUAAAAAUAAUUCUAGAGAAUCUAGAAUCACCAUUUAUAUCACAAAAUUAAUCCGAAGCUUAGAAAAUCCCUAGAAAAAAAUCCUAGAAAUGGAUUAAAGGAUGAGGAACUCAAACAAAGCAUUUGGAGCUCAUGAAAAGAUUUUUUUUGGAACUUCGAAUAAAAAAGAUUAAGGUCAAGGGGAGUAGGAAUUAAAUUCUAGAAAAAACUAGAAAAUUCUUAUAGAUAGAAUAUUUAUCUUCUGAAUGUAUUUUAAAAUAUUUAGAAUGUUUAUCUUCUAAAUGUAUUUUAAAGGCGCCAGGGACCGCGGGUUAGAUAAGAGAGAAAGAGAGGGACUCUUUAGCAAGAUUGACCCCGAAGGGGUAUCUUCUAAUUUUGGCCGUUGAUUCAAGAUCCUACGGCCCAAAUCUGCUAAGGAUGAUGGAGAGGGGUGACAACCGUCCGGCUACAGGGCACCGACGGCGGCGCCAUUGCCGGAGAGCUUGGAGCCUCGUUGGAGUUGGUCGGGACGACGUUCUAGUGCACCAAAUUCAAAUCCGAGAGCAUGGGGAGCAAGAGAGGGACGCCGCGAACUCACCAAGACCAAGAUAAAGGACGGGGACAGCUCGGAGAGGUGAGACCACGCGGUGUGGCGGCUCGAUGCUCCUGCAGAGGGUUCGGCGAGGACUUAGGAGCAAAAGAUCGUGCUAGAGUGUAAAAGGAAGGGCUAGGCAUGUUCGUCACCUCAAUCCGAAGCUCGGCACGGUAUCGAUUUUGUUGACACGGCCAUGGACAGAAAGUUCCACGGCGGCGGCAAUUGAAACACCUCGGCGAGAUCCGAGACGCGGUAGACCAGAGGCUAGGGCUCAGGCGAAGGCACGAUGAUGGGAAAAACGAGGGCGUGAAGAGGGAAUGGGAUUUUAUAGGAGCUUGAUGCGAGAGUUGGCAAGGAAUCCCGGGAAGAUCGGGAUUGGGGAUUCGCCUGUUAGCCAGAGACCGGCUUGGUCACAACGAGGAAGAAGGGGAGGGAGUCGCUGACCUAGGGGUCCCACCUGGCAGCGACUAAAUGGCGCGCGGCCGGUUUGCCAGAGAUGGGAGGAGGGAAGGCCAGCGCGCGUGCGGGCUCGCGCGUUCCUGGGCCACGCACUAGGCCGAGGCGAGGGGGAGACGGGAGGCGCGCCGUUGGGCCAGAGCCUGGGCCGCGCGUGGGGUGUGCUGGCCAACGGGCCGAGGGAAGAAAAGGAGAAGGGGAGGAUGGGGUAGGCCUUCGGCCAAAAUAGAGAGAGGGAGGUUUUCCCUUUUUUGUUUGUUUUCUUUUUGUUCCUUUUUAUUUCAAAAUUUUUUCAAAGCAGUUUUAAAUCAAUUUAAAAUAAUAUUUUGACUUUAACCAAGUUCACACAUUACAAUGAAAAGGAAUGCUCCAAAAUGAAUGCACAAACAAGUUGCUAAACCUAUGGUAAAUUUUAAUUAAAUGAAAAAAUAUUAUUUUCCUAUGUUUUAUGAGCACAAAAAUUCAUAAUUAAAUCAUUUUAGCUCUAUUUCCCGUAAAACAAUUUUUAGGGUGUUACAAAGUUUCAUCUCAUGGAGAGGGUUUAACAUGAUAAUAAAGUUAAUGUUUCUUCAUCCAACUACUAUUUUUUAUGCAACGUUGGUGCAAAAAUCUUUUUUACGCAUCUUGACUAUUUGAUUCGAUGCAUCCAAUCUGUAAUCACAUGCCAUGAUUCAAAUUUUAAAUUUAUGAAUUUUAAUUUUUUUAAAGAAAAUAUUCACAAUGGGUCUUGAAGCAUGCACAAAAAUGUGAGGAGUUCAAUGGUAAAAAUCGUUUUUGAAUCGGAUGCUUUAUUUAAGAAUAUAUUAUCGUGAAAAAUGGAAGAAAUUAGAUUGGUGCAUAUGUGUGUCAGCCUGUGUCAAGUGUUGUCACGUGGAACAUCCAGCUCGUAGAUAGGUUUUUAUGCGAUAACACAUUAAUUUUAAUUCAUACAACCACAAGAUUUUAUGAAUUAUUGUGAUAAAAAUCUUUCUGUGCAGUCUGAUAUAAGAUUUUAUGCGUCUAAUUGAUUAGGUCCUGAAAGGGUCCUCCACCUAUGCGCGCGUUAGCUUCGUAGACAUUCUCAAACCGAUAAAUAAGUAUGAAUACAUACAUAAUGUUGUUUAUUGAAAGAUGAGAGUAAUUACUCCCGGCAUGCAUGCAUUAUAUAUAUAUAUAUAUAUAUAUACACACACACGUGCACGCCACACCAAUCGGCCGAUCGUCGUUGGCCCCCUUCCCUGGAUCUGCGCUCCCUGGAUAUGACGACGUGGAGGCGACAACCUCUAGGACCUAUUCUCAACCCGGCAUACAACAAGAUGGUUGCGGUGGCCGGGACACAAGCGGCGGCGCUGCACCUCCCCAUGAGCGCACCCCUACCGCCCCUACGAUGCCGCGGCGGUGUCCUUCCCAACCACAGCGACACCCUUCCCACCCCUGGCGGCUCCCCACCAUCCAUAGCGCGCCCCCAUCAUCCACGGUGAGAUCCAUAGAGGUGGCCACGGUAGCUGCCUCCCCACCAUGGCAUAAUCCAUGGAGGCAGCCACGGCCAUCCCCUACCCCGACGACAGUCCAUGGAGGAGCUCCCCACCAUCCACCAACAAGAUCCAUCCACCCUAGUGUCUCCCUUCGACCCUAGUCGAGCCUCGACUGUGCGGUGGCGUAAGCCAACGGUACGCGGACCGUGUGCAUGCGUUCAUACGGGCCGCAGGGGUGUGCAGCUCUGGCCUCUCAGCGCACCUCCUCACCAUGGCACACAGCGGCAUCCCAACACCCCCUCCAUGGCUUGGUAAGUAGAGGCAUGUGGGUCCUCCUGAGCAAGAUCUAGGGAGCAUCCACGCGAAUCUCCGACCAAGGGCGGCGUGGGUGAUAGUUGAGGAUUUUGCCUCACCUCUCCCGACGGCGGUGACAAUCCCCAAACACCUGCGACGGUGCCUCCUCACAAUUUCAUAUUCCUUUUUUUCCUGUCAACAUCCUCACAGCUAAGAGAUUGAUUAUAUUUAUGCAAUUGCUUAACACGUUUUAUGUCUUUCUGAAGAUGAUGUUUUAUGCUUAUCUUACGUUAAUGAAAUUAAAAUCAUAAAAUAUAUGUUCUAUGCAUGGUGAACCUAUGCCUUUUUGUAUAUUUUGGGUGAUUUUUAUGCUAAGCUUGCAUAGGUUUCAACACAAGUUGAACUCAAAUUUCAUUCUCAACUAUGGUGUGCAACGAGGACCUACCAAUAAGUUUGUAUACUUAACAUGUUGGAUUUAUAUGCAUUUUUUUGAUAUUAUGUGCAAUGAAUAGGUUUUUGUGCAUUUGAUUUUGGAUUUUUAUGUUUCACGGUUUCUAUGCUAAUUGAAUUAAGUUUUUACACAUUUAAAUCAAUUCUGGUGGCGGUCCUCCACCUAUGCGCGUGUUAGAUUCAUGGACAUACUCAAAUCGAUAAAUAAGUAUAAAUACAUACAUAAUGUAGUUUAUUGAAAGAUGAGAGUAAUUACUCCCAGCAUGCAUGCAUUAUUGUCUCUUACACUAUACUCCCUCCGUCCCUAAAUACUGCUAUUUCUAGGAGAAAAUUUUGUCCACAAAUACUGCUAUUUCAACUAGCAUACUCAGUACAUCAGCCCAUUUAAUUCUCCUUGGAACUUCCAUGGUCCAUCAACCCAUUUAAUUUCUUCUAGGGAGUAGUACUUUGGCGCAUAGUAAUUGUUUGAGUAUGUUUAGUUGGCAUUAAAUGUAGCUCGUUGGAACUAGGGAACCAUGGCUUAAUGUGCAUGAUUAAAUGGUAGAACCCAAAUUAAUUGAGGAUAGAAUGGUUUUUUGUUUGCCACACUAAUCUAUCUGAAAUCUGGUAGAAAUAGCAGUAUCUGGGGAGGAGGGAGUAUAUACGUGCACACCACACCAAUCGGCCGAUCGAGAGAGAUAUGGAGGGAUCGAAAACACAUAUUCCUACUGCAUGUCGUCAGCAUGCAUGCAUGGGAGGUGCGCGCGCGCAGCAAGGAAUAAUAAUAAUGAUGAUGUACUCCCUCCGUCCCUUUUUAAUUGUCGCUUGCGCUUCCCAAAAAAUAAUUACUGAUAAUUAUAUAUUAAAAAAUAUUAAUAUUUAUAAUACAUAAUUAGUAUCAUUAGAAAGAUCUUUCAAUUUAGUUUUUUAACAAAUUUAUUUGGAGAUACAAAUAUUGCACGUAUUUUCUACAAAUCGAGUUAAACUUGUGGCACGCACACCAACGACGACAAUUAAAAAGGGACAGAGUACGUGAUAAUGUAAAAAGCUAGCUAGCAGGCGGCCGUCUCGAUGGAUUAAUCGGUCGUCGAUCUCAGUCGUCUCUCCAUGCAUGCAUCCAUAGCUAGACCGACGUACUGUAGUAAUAGUAGCUACCUAGCUUCUUCUUCUUCUUCCAACUAGUGCUGGCUGCAGGCACGUACUAGCUAGCUAGCUAGUGAUCCGAUCCCCCUAGCUGUAGGCUGUAGCUGCAGCAGACAGCAGCAUGCCCAUGCAUCUUGCAUGGAUGAAGAGACUGAUCGGUCGGUCAAUCGAGACAAUGUGCAGCUGGCUGCUGGCAGAGCACGCUCUAGCUAUUACUCCCAAACCCUAGCUCGGAUCGGAAUCUUUUCGAUUCAGCGCCAUGUUGAAGACCAAUGCAAUGCAAAGUGCAUGCAAUGCAACGAGAGACAGCAGAGCUAUUGAGGAACACAUCAUAUCUAUGCAUCAAGUAGAUAGGAUAUAGGAUCGUAAUAUGUAGUGUGUAUAGUACGUACUAUGUAUUAGCUAAGUAUAUAUUCUUCAUCAUUGGCCUUGUUCACUUCACCCUCGAAACCAAAAACUUUUUCAAGAAUUCCCGGUACAUCGAAUAUUGCGACACAUUGUUGUUCAGUUCACUCUUUCUAUGCAUCGUUUGUAUUUUAAAUAUCCUCUCGUGGCACAAUUAUUAGAACACUAUUCUAUACAAUUGUAUGCAUUAUAUGGGUUUUUGUGUUUCUAUAUAUGGUUGGACCACUCUUCUAUAUAUGCCUUGUUAGAACACUUCAAUAUACAUUGUUGGAACAAUUAUUUGUGUGCCUCUAUACCAUUAUGUACAUUGUUGGAACACAAUUUUCUAUGCGGUAAGAAAUUAAUUUUUAUUCAUCUACCUAUGCAUUUUUUCCAUAUUAAUUAGACCACCCCAUAGUGGGAAGCAUGAUGUUAGUUGAGGUAGUUACAAUUAUGUCAGAUAGAAAGUCCAUCUCAUGGAGAGGGUUUAACACGAUAACAAAGUUAAUGUUUCUUCAUCCAACUACUAUUUUUUAUGCAACGUUGGUGCAAAAAUCUUUUUUAUGCAUCUUGACUCUUUGAUUCUAUGCACCCAAUCUGUAAUCACAUGUCAUGAUUUAAAUUUUAAAUUUAUGAAUUUUAAUUUUUUUAAAAGAAAAUAUUCACAAUGGGUCUUGAAGCAUGCACAAAAAUGUGAGGAGUUCAAUGGUAAAAACCGUUUUUGAAUCGGAUGCUUUAUUUAAGAAUUAUCGUGAAAAAUGGAAGAAAUUAGAUUGGUGCAUAUGUGUCUCAGUGUGUCAGCCUGUGUCAAGUGUUGUCACGUGGAACAUAGAUAGGUUUUUAUGCGAUAACACAUUAAUUUUAAUUCAUACAACCACAAGAUUUUCUGUGCAGUCUAAUAUGAGAUUUUAUGCAUCUAAUUGAUUAGGUCUUGAAAGGGUCCUCCACCUAUGCACGCGUUAGCUUCGUGAAUAUACUUAAACCGAUAAACAAGUAUAUACGUGCACGCCACACCAAUCGGCCGAUCGAGAGAGGUAUGGAGGGAUCGAAAACACAUAUUCCUACUGCAUGUCGUGAGCAUGCAUGCAUGGGAGGUGCGCGCGCGCAGCAAGGAAUAAUAAUAAUGAUGAUGUACGUAAUAAUGUAAAAAGCUAGCUAGCAGGCGGCCGUCUCGAUGGAUUGAUCGGUCGUCGAUCUCAGUCUCUCCAUUCAUGCAUCCAUAGCUAGACCGACGUACAAGACUAGAUCAAGAGAGAAGGAAGCUAAGGGAGCUAGCUAGAAACAGAGCUAGCUAGCUAGUAGCCGAUCGAGAGAUCUAGUAGUUCUAGCAGAGCUCGAUCGCUGCUGGCCGGCCGGGACCAUGCUCUGUAUGCAAGCGGCAUCCCGAUCGAUCAGCCUUCCUCUUUUUCUCCAUCUCCCUGCUGCAGCUAGAGCUAGAGGGAGGAGGAGGAAUAUCGAUCGAUCGAUCAAUCGAUAUGCCUGCAUAUACUGUAUAAACGCAUUAUCGAUUGAUCAUCACUAGCCAGCCAGCCAGCACAGCACAGCAGGACCAUGCAUACGUUUGCCCGGCCGGGACUGAGGGAGAGGCCUAGCUUUGUUUAGAUCAAAAACGAUUUAGGUAUUGCAUGUAUCACUUUCGUUUGUAUUUGGUAAUUAGCGUCUAAUCAUAAACUAACUAGGCUUAAAAGAUUUAAUCUAUAUAAUGCUUCAUGCAUGUGUCGCAAUAUUCGAUGUACCGGAAAAUCUUGAAAAAGUUUUUGGUUUCGAGGGUGAACUGAACAAGGCCAAUGAUGAAGAGUAUACUUAGCUAAUACAUAGUACGUACUAUACACACUACAUAUUACGAUCCUAUAUCCUAUCUACUUGAUGCAUAUAUAUGAUGUGUUCCUCAAUAGCUCUGCUGUCUCUCGUUGCAUUGCAUUGGUCUUCAACAUGGCGCUGAAUCGAAAAGAUUCGGAUCCGAGCUAGGGUUUGGGAGUAAUAGCUAGAGCGAGCUCUGCCAGCCAGCUGCACAUUGUCUCGAUUGACCGACCGAUCAGUCCCUUCAUCCAUGCAAGAUGGGCAUGCUGCUGUCUGCUGCAGCUACAGCCUACAGCUAGGGGGAUCGGAUCACUAGCUAGCUAGCUAGUACGUGCCUGCAGCCAGCACUAGAUAGAGGGAGAGAAAGAAGAAGAAGAAGCACCAGCAGCUAGGUAGCUACUAUUACUACAGUACUCCUCCCUCGUCCUAGUAGCUUCUGACUCGAUCGCGACUGAAGAUCGAUGAUAAUUGACCCACAGCAGCAAGACGACGACGGACGCAGCAGCACUUGAGAGCUACUGUACUUGCUACGUAGGCGCAAGCUAGCUAGCAGCUGGUGUUGGUAUUUCUCUGUGGGUGUACCUAGAACCCGACAGAAAAAAGUCAUAAUUUUCUUGUCGGUUUGGCUAGCACCAGUAGGAGAAUCUUAGUUUCUAGUAGAGUGUCGAGUGAUCUCUGCUGCGCACAGCUAGCCCGAUGUUCCUGACGGCGAAAUCGCCAUACUCGGGCGAGAGCACCACCUUGUCCACGCUCUGAGUGCUCCAGCGUGCACAUUGGAGUCGCCAGCCGCGCCCACAGGAAAUGGUGUACUCCGAUCCGGCCAAAUCGAGAAGACGAUGAUCAUUAACCUCUCAUUCACACACACGCAUGCAUCCCCAAAAUGGCACUUGAUCGAUGAGAUGAACUAACUAAAAGACACUUAAGUGCAUUAAUUGUGAGGUAGUCCAGAUAUUCAUGAGAUCGAUCGUUCUCCAUGGAUGCAUGCAAUGCAAGGAGAGCCAACAAAGGCAUAUCCUAAUUAAGCCAAGCCUGCAAAAAUAGACGUACGGUGCUGACUUAAUUACCUAAUAAUAAUAUAUAAGUAAGGUCCGAAAAAGAAAGGUAUAUAUAUAUAUAUAUGCUCUCAUUCAUAAAGAAUUCAUCAUCAUUAUUCCCUGCAAUAUAAUUAACCAACAACACGAUCGAGUAGCUAGCUAGCCACCCACCGUACCAUGGCUUCUUCUUCCUCCUCCAAUCAUAGCUUCCUGCUGCUGCUUUUAUUCCCUCUCCUGCUGGUGCUGCUCCUCUCCACGACGGUCGUCGCCGCCGAUUCUACAGCUACAGCAGAAAAGUACCAGAAAUGGUGCCAAGUAGCAUCAGAUUCUCCGUCGUGCGUCAAGGUGAUUGAGUCCAUCCCAGGAAUCCAGGAGGUCGAUUACAAUAACGCCGGCAAGGUCGCCGACUUGUGCUUGCAUUUUGCUGCCAAUAAGACAAAGGAGGCCAAGGGAGCUGCUGACACCUUGCUUGCCGCAGAAAAAGGCAAGCCUGCUUCCGGUUGCCUCAAGGCCUGCGCCACCAACAUCAAGUCAAUGGCCGAGGUAUUGGUCAAUCUCCCUGCUGGGCAGGACGACAUGAACGCCUAUCAAACCUAUAAGGAGGUCAGAGCCAAGUUCAAAAACGAGAAACCACCAGCCUGUGAGAAGGACUGCUGGAACAAGACGUCAUCAUCGUCAUCUUCAGCUGCCGACAUCGUGGACAAGUUCCAUGAUAUCUGGAAUGUGGCCAAAGUUGGGAAUAUGCAGAUUAAUUAUAUCUUUCCUUGGCCAGAUAGCGACGACGACGAUAACAUCCUUUAAUUUAAUUUAGGUACGUCUGCAGGGCAUGUACGUACGAUAUAUGACCAUGCAUGGUGUGCCAUGUGAGACCAUGCAUCACAUUAGUAGCUAUUAUUUGUAUGCUUUAAUUUCUUCUUUUUAUUUUGUUUGAUUUGAAGGCAUGCAUGGUCGAUCUUGGCCACGCACCCAAUCUUUGGCAUGUUAUUGUAAAAUGGUAAUAAGUUGUGCUAUUUCUUGCAACAAUGUGUGUUAUAUAUGUUUAAUGUUGUAUUUAUAUCUAUUGCAACGUUAAGGGGACAUAUAUAUAAUUAAUAUUAAUUACACGCACCAUCUCCGAGUCUCCUCCAGAUUGUUUAAGAUUUCAACGCUCGCUUCUGUGUCAAUACGAGAACAAUCAAGGCUUCCUACGUGAAGUAUCGAAGCUUUAUAUAGAAUGCAACAAUAUAUAUAAUAGGCUCUUUAACGACUAACAUAUAUAUGUCAACAUUUAGAUGCAUCCUAUUGGCACCCUAAGAUUCCGAUUGCAUGGCAUUUCUCAACCUUGUAUAUACCUUUUCCUUCCCGCCACAUUAUUGUGUGAACGUUUUUUUGUCUCCAUGUGUAUCUUGGGCUGUGAAUAGAAAACACUAAAUCAAAAUAAACUAUAUUUAUGAUUAUUUUUAUAAAACUUGCAAGAUUUAUUUAUUUAUUUAUUUUGUUAUCAAUUUAAAAGAGUGAAAAUAUUGGUUCAUGUAAGUGAUUUGUUGCAUUCAUGCUGAUUCCAUCUAGGUGCAAAAUGUUUUAAAAUACAUUUAGAAGAUAAAUAUUCUAUUUCUAAGAAUUUUCUAGUUUUUUCUAGAAUUUAAUUCCUACUCCCCUUGACCUUAAUCUUUUUUAUUCGAAGUUCCAAAAAAAUCUUUUCAUGAGCUCUAAAUGCUUUGUUUGAGUUCCUCAUCCUUUAAUCCAUGUUGAGGCAAAAGUGGAUUUGCAAACACAAAGGGCUAAUACCCGAUUUUAACGUUAAGGCGUGCCAGCCGAUUUGACCUUACAACCGACAAAGGUGAUAACUCGAAUACUUUGGUCCCGACAACAGCGAUGCGCCCAGAUGCCACGGCCAAGAGGUAUUCACGCGGAACUUGAGAACUCGCCGAGUUUGACUCGAUGAAUUCCUAAGAACUCGUAAGUAAAAAGAAAAUAUGCGAGUUGACGAAGUCGUCGAAAGUAGAUGCUGGAAUAGAUGUAAAAACUUGUGUUUGAUUGAUUGUGAUUAUUUCUUACAUCGCUACUAAGUCUAUAUUUAUACCCUGUCUAAAGAAUUACAAUCAGGUACGACUAGGAUUUUAAUUUCAAACUAAACGAAAUUCGUAUACAAAACAAACUCUAAUAAUUAUGGAAAACAUUAAUUUAUCUACCCUAGGCGAUCGGCACACCACCAUCAUCUUCCCGACAAUUCCUAAGCCCUCUUCUACCAUUAUUGGCAUAUCAUCCUCCAUCGGCAUCGGCAACUGCCAACAUCAACCAUCGGCAGAGAUCAACCACCAUCCUUGGACUUGAUCAUAUCCUGCUGCUUUAUCAUCUGCAUCAUAAGCCAUCGGCAGCCAUCGGCAAUUUAUCUGUCACUCAAUCAUCACUUUCUCGCCUGCCGAUCCGAGUCCCAUUAACUGUUUAGAUACGUAUCAAAAACGGUGUCAACAAUCCAUUUCUAGGAUUUUUUUUCCUAGGGAUUUUCUAAGCUUCGGAUUAAUUUCGUGAUAUAAAUGGUGAUUCUAGAUUCUCUAGAAUUAUUUUUAUUUCAUAAAAUUAGUUAAUUUCGAAAUUAGAAAAACUCUAAGCCCAAAGUUUCAUCGACCCACGAAGCUCGUGUGCAAUAAUCCUAAAGAUAAUGGGAUUAAUCGAUCCAUUGGUUUGCAUCAAUAUAGACCUUUUGGCGGAGGUAGACGCUUUGCCCAUCUCGGUUAACACAUUUCGCCCAUCUGAGAAAAGAUUUCUUUAGUUGUGAUCGUGUCGAUUGCUAAGUGUUGUUACAUUAUCUAGCUGUGACGAUUAAUUACAAUGACAACACGAAUAUCGUUUACAUGUCUGAAACCACCAUGUUUAUCAUUGAGUGAAAAAGCACAAUGAGAUUAACAUUCACUUUCACUCCUGCAGUUGGGAACGCGGGGCUCUGCUCCCGGGCUAUCCACGUUAGUAAAAAAAUUUCAACCAUUUAAUCUCCGUUUAACGCCUUCGAUUUACUACAUCAUUGCCGACCGUGGUCGUUCUCCAGAAACUUCGUGCUUUUUCACGCACACACAUCAACGAAGGAGACCGCUGUAAAAUAUCUCCUCCUCCCUUCCGUCUCCUCUCCCCUUCCUCCGUCUCUCCCGUGUGACGAUGCAACGGCUGGGGUGGCGGCUCUCCGGUGUGGAUGGGGCACCAGCGGUUGCAGUCCUCCCUCCCUCUCUCUACUCUCUCUCUCACUCUCACUCGCUCCCUCCUCUCCCCGUGCACCGGCACACCAGCCGGCUCUUCCAAGGCGGUGGCGCACCAGCGGCGCUGGCGGGCGACCCCAAUGAACACGGCUGCCGGUCAUCCCCCGCUCCCCCUGCACAGUGUUCAUGCGGCUCUGAUUUUCCUCGAUCCGUCUGCUCCUGGUUUGCUCUCUCUCCCUCCUUACUCUAUAGUGAAUCUGCCAUAGCUUUGCAAUUUUGAAGCAAUUUAACCUUGAUCUUGGAGGUGCCACUGCCCCUUGUGUGCACGCUACAACAAACCUUAGCUGUUGUGCUCUUAAUUCUAUGCUUAUCUCAGCUGAUCUUCUCUCAUUGUACUUUGUGGAUAUGCUCUGCUGUGUUAAAAAAAAAUCCUUUCUUAAUACAGCUACCAUGGCAGUGACGUGAAAAGUUUUGCCUCACAUUUUGAUGCUCCAAUUAGGUUCCAAUGAACAUGACGUUUGUUGUAAUCUACAUGGUGGCCGUUUUGGGAAAGGAAAAAAAGGUGCGCUCUGUUUCUAGGCCAUCUUCCUAUAAUUAUGGAGUCAACCCUUCUUUUAUUGACAUACUUUUUAGAUUAAUAUACUUGGAGUCCAAUAUAUUCACAUAUCUAGGCAUACUCACUACUGGAUCCGGCUUCUUUGCCGAGAGCCGAGAGCCCUCGGCAAAGGCCUAAAAGCCCUCGGCAAAGACUUUGCCGAGGGCCAGAAACGCCCUCGGCAAAGCCUACGGCGCCGUCGAGAAACGUCAAUAUUGACGUCAUCUUUGCCGAGAGCCUUGCUGGCCGGCUCUCGGCAAAGAUUCUUUAUUUUUUUUAAAAAAGCCUUUGCCGAGAGCCUGGCUGUCUGGCUCUCGGCAGCGGCAGAGAGAGAGUAUCACUAUUGUGAUUUAGGUGUACAACCACCCACUGCUUACCUGCUACGUCCGUGCGGGCAGCGGCCGUCGGGCCUCGCAGCGUCCAUGCGGCGUCCGUGCGGGCAGCGGCCGGGGCUCCUGCGGCGUCCGUGCGGCCGCCGGCGUCCUGGGCUGCUGCGGCCGGCGGCGGCUCCGGCGACGCGACGUCCUGCGGCCGGUGGCCUCCUGCGUCCGUGCGGGAUGCGGCGAGCCGGGGAAGGGCGGGCUAGGGGCGGGGGCGGGGGCAGUGUGGACCGGCGGCGCGCGGCAGAUUUGGGCGGCGGCGCGCGGGCUAGGGGCGGGGGCGGCGGCGGCGGCGGGCUAGGGGCGCCGGGUGCAGCGGCGCUGCGGACUUGGGCGCGUCUGUUUAGGGUUGGGACUUGGGCGCGGGCCGGGGUUGCGCCGGGUGGGGAUAAGGAUAUUUUCUUUUUUUUAAAAAAAAUACCCUUUGCCGAGAGCCACAGAGACAGGCUCUCGGUAAAGAAACAGGUUUUUUUUUAAAAAAACCUUUGGCGAGAGCACGAUGCGGCUGGCUCUCGGCAAAGACGUUUUGCCGAGAGCAAGAAGGGCAGGCUCUCGGCAAAGACACUUUGCCGAGAGCCAGAUGUGCAGGCUCUCGGGAAAGAGGUAUUUGACUUUUUUAUUCUUUUUUUAUUUUAGACCCGAGUUUUUUUUUGUGUCCUUGUCACUCAAUUUCUAAAUACAUUUCAAAAUUUAGCAUCAAUUUGACUUUAUUUGCUAUAUUUAACUAAUUAAUCUUGUUUCUUUAAAUUUUUUCACGUAAUUCAAAUUUGAACUACAGGUAUAUGGAAUAUUGGAACUCAGUGAUUCAAAAAAUAAUAGUCAAGAUAUUUGUUGUAUGUUGAAGUUGUAUCCACAACCACACAUAAAAUCUCAACCCUUUCGCAGACAUAACAUGUCGAGGAAUGUGAGGGAAAAGUGUUUUUUAAUUAUAUAAAUUCCAAAUGAAGUCCAAAAAUCACGAAACUUAGCGACGUGUCGUGUUAUCGCAUGUGGAGGCUGUGUUAAAAAAUUCAUAAGAUUUUGAGCAAGUUGCAAUGCCGGAUGUCUAAAACCUAGACAUCUCCACAUGUGAUCAAAUAUGAUCACAUGCGGAGAUAUUUGGAUUUUAGACAUCCGGAGUCGCAACUUACUCGAAACUUUAUGAGUUUUUUACCACAACAUCCACAUACGAUAACAAGACAUGUCACUAAGUUUUGUGAUUUUUGAAGUUCAUUUGGAAUUUAUAUAAUUAAAAAUCACAUCAACGACACAUGGAUGGUUAUGUUUCGUAUAAAAGACAUUCAAACUUUUGGGUGAGUUUAUGGAUAUAGCCUCAAAAUACACUCUCAAACAUGAGUACCAUUUUUCGAAUGGCUAUAUUUUAUUAUUUCAUGCACCUGCAGUUCAAAUUUACUUUUUCAAAAAAAUGCAAAGAAAAUAAAUGAAUUGAUGAAAUAUAGCAAAAUGUUAUAAAAAGCUCCCAAAUUUUAACAUGUGCUUGUAUAUAAUAUGCAAGGGCUAUAGAAAAAGUCUAGGCACAAAAGUCAAAAAAAAAACUUCAAUCUUUGCCGAGGGCAAGUGCUAGCCCUCGGCAAAGGGGGGUCUUUGCCGAGAGCCUGCAGUUGCCCUCGGCAAAGGUCACCUCUUUGCCGAGAGCCUAACGGCACGGCUCUCGGCAAAGGUGACGACUACGGCAGCCGUUCACGGCACGGCAUCUUUGCCGAGGGCUUGCCUUUGCCGAGAGGUUAGCUCUCGGCAAAGCUGACCUUUGCCUAGAGCCCCUCUUUGCCGAGAGCCUGGCCGUCGGCAAAGGCUCUUUGCCGAGAAGAUGACAGGGCUCUCGGCAAAGGCUGUCUUUGCCGAGGGUCUAGCUCUCGGCAAAGCCGGACUCUCGGCAAAGCUCGCGUUUCCUGUAGUGACUCUGAAUUUUGCUACCUGUAUUAUUAAAACUUUUGAGUCCUCACAAAUUGAGUUCCGUUUUUACUCAGAAAUUUGUAAAUUUCUGAUAUGAUGGUAGUAAUUAUUAUUAAAAGUUUUAAUAAUGUUUCAAUAAUAUUUGCAUAAUGUUGUCUGCUCUCAAAGCAUGCCUCUUACUAUACACGAACUGCAUGUUACACACUUCCCAGUUCACUAAACCAACUAUCACUAUGCGCUUGGUGUCGUGAUGUUUACUAUAUUUUGAUUGAUGAAUAAUAGUCCCAUUUCAGACAAUGGGCAAACUAUUCCUCGGUCUCCUGUUAUUGAUUCCUAACAAGACUAUAACAAGUACUUGGUAAGCGCUAUGCUCCUGCAGUAUUAUUUCUCUCAACUCAACUCCCUUUCCAGCUGUAUGUAUUGUUGUUGUAUCCAUUGGUUACUCAUAGCUUCUUUGUUCUUUCUUUCUAGGCAUCAUAUUCCUGCAAUCCUCAACGAUUCCUGUUGGUGGACCUAUGCUUACUCAUAGCCUCUUUGUUCUGGUAUUCCAUUUUUUGGGAUUCCAUAUGUUACUAUUCUUCAUUGCCUUCAACCAUUUGUUGACUCAUGUGAUGUGUGCCUCAUUGACUUUGAUCUGAUGAUCUUGCCAUUAGUCAUUUUCCAUUUUACCCCUUAAUCAGCCUAUGAUGAAAAUUUGGUAUCCAUUGCUCAAGGAUAUAAUCUGAUGUUGAUUCUCUUGUGAGGUACUGGGCAUGUCCUGUUAUUUACAUUAUAGAAUUUUUGAGAAUAACCCAUUUGUCAAAUGCCUUGGAGCUCCAAGUUGAUGAAAAAAUGAUGAUUGACAUAUUACUGAGGCCUCUAAGAAUCCUGUCUUCAUUGAAAAAAAAUGUUUUUCAUUGCUCCAACAGAAAUAGAGUUUUAAGUCAUAAGGGGUACCAUCAUAUGGUCAACCAAAACCAAGUUUUAAGUUGACCUCAUCUUACAUGCUGCAACAAGUGGCCCUUAAGCAGUCCUGGGCUCCCUGUACCUUGGCAGAAAGUGAUUUAUUUGCUCUACAUUCUUAACUUACCCACAAUAUGAUUAACCUCUUCCCUUCGCUUAUACCUUUCUGUACUGUUUUCGUACAUCUAUGCUCCUUAUCUUUGUUGGAUGAGCAUUUUUUACUCUUAUUUACUAUGCCCUUUUGUUGUGCUACAUUAUUUUAAGAUUAUUUUGUUCAUGCCUUCCCAGUGUUGCUUCAUCUUUCCUCUAUAUGUUAUUACUUUUGUCUUGACUUGCAAACUUUGCUCUAAGAUCUGAUGACCGUUGAGGGCCGCUCGGGAGUCGACCCCGAGGACACGGCGGUGACCCAGCUAGUUUCCCGUGGAGUCCGGCAACGCUGUGACGAUGACAAAGCAGAUCGUGAUGUCGGUGUCGAGUUCCAACGCGUGGGUUUCGAUCUCUGGCGACAAUUUCUUUAUGUGGAAUAGUCACGCAAUGGAGGAAGGAACUUUGGGUCUGGCUGCAGUAUUGCUGACGUUAAGCGGCGCGUUUUCUACUCAGUACGUGCGACAUUGAAACAAUUAAUAAGAGAACCCUAGCCGCCACCCCCUAUUCCUUCUCGCCUUCGUAUGCCAAGGUUCUGCACAAAGGCAUGGCGGCGGCAGGUGCGGGUGCGGGCAAUGGCAACUCUAGAGGUGCUUCUAGCGGGAGAGGUUUUGGAGGUGGUCACGGUGGAGGAUGCUUAGGAGGAGGAGGAGGAGGUGCUGUGCGCGGUGGUCGCCAGGGUUACGGUGCUAGGUACGACUACAAUCACCAUAUAUAAUGAAGAUGGAGCGCACUUCUCUGGACAAUCUCGGGGUCCAUCCACCAAAUUAUGGUCUUGGAUGGGAGUUUGAGCGGGGAAGAAGAGGUAGAUACGAAGGUUUUGGAUCACAUGGAGGGAAUGGUGGGUACCGUCAAGUUCGCAAUUUCCAGCUACCACGGAUACCGGCUCAAGCCUCUUUGCAGCAACGGGUGGCACCGCAGCAUCUUGUGCCACAGCAGCAUCAGCCUCAGGCGGCACCGCAAGCAGCUUCAGUCGCAACAGCAGGUGCGACAAGUGCAUCAGUAGGCACAGCACCAAAUGCUGCCAUAGCAAUGCUAUUUUGGUGUUAAUGUAAUUAUUAAGCAAGGUCCGGAUCUAGCUAUAUAUAGUCUUUGCGUUGGAGCUAAGAUAUUAGCCGGUGAUACGACAAAGUAGCUUAUAUCAGCUGGUGAUUGAUCGAUCAUCACGCGUACGUACAUCUACAAGAAGUAAUACAUACAUACAUACAUACAUACAUACAUACAUACAUACAUACAUACAUACAUACAUACAUACAUACAUACAUACAUACAUACAUACAUACAUACAUACAUACAUAGUUAUUGGGUUACGAGAAACAAAUAAUAAACAUGGCUGCCUCGAACUCAUGCAUAGCCAUUCCAUUACUAGUUCAGAAGCAGCAAAUUAAGCAUUCAACUGUCUGCAUAUUACAGUGAUGGACGCAAAUUAAACAUGGCUGUGCCUCGCGCCUUACUAACAAAUGCAAAUCGAUCGAUCGAGAUUCAGUAGAGAGAGAGACACACACACGCACACGCACAACUACGAGAGAUCGAGACUGCAAGCUAAUGAACCCAAGACACCUAACUACCACUAGGACCGGCGAAAAUCCAUCGAUUCGUCCAUCGAUGAGCUGAGGACGGAUCGAAGAACAUACUACACACAAGAAAUUAACUAAACAAAGGCAACACAAUAAGAACUCAGGUCGAAACUAACAAGUACUACUACUCCGAUCCAGCAGACUGCUGCUGCGAUUCGGAGGCAGGCAGGCCAGGCAUGCAAAGCUAGCUAGCUACUGGUACGUACGUACGGUGCUUCCAUUCCAUGCAUGGACAUGGAUCUGUCGUCGUCGUUGCUGAUGGAGAUUGUCGGACUUCUCGAUGAUGAUGAUGAUGAUGAUGAUGAGGAGGAGGAGGACAGAGGUCGAAGGACGGAGGUCGAAGGAGCUAGGUCUUGCUAGCUCAUGCCUUUGUUGGAGGGGCUGGGGCUGGGCACGCCGGGUCGCGGACGAUCAAGCCGCGUGCGUAGGGUAUGAUGUAUCUGCCCUCCUUGUCCUUGGGCAUCCAGGCGCUGGCGUUGACGAAAGGGUCCGCGGUGUACUGCGCCGCCUCACUGCAGUUGGUGACGACACGCACGGCGGUGGUGUUGAUGCGGCGGCUCGUGUCGGCGCCAGGCCCGUAGUUGGCGUACUCCAGAUACACCACCGUGUCUGGAAUGUGGCCGCUGCUCCGGUUCCACUCCACCCAGCCGGUGAAGUUGACGAUGGAGCUGAGGAAGGUCUCCAUGAAGAUGACAUGGGAGUGUUCCUUCCACGGACGGCCGAGGAAGGUCUCCACCCCUGUGAGGUUUGCACCCUCGUCGGCGGUGACCGAACAGUUCUGGAAGGAGAAUCCAGAUCUAUCCAAGGGGUUGCUACGGCCCUGCGCGGUGACAACAUUGUGAGCGCCGGGUUUGCUGGCGCCGGAGCUGCGAACCAGUAGCCGACAACCUUGGAAGGCCGCCCUGGCGUAUCCAAACACAAAAUCUAUUGUGCCACGGAUGUCUGUCUCCAAAUAGAUCUGGUCUCCAGUGUCUGCAUUGAGGGUAUCUUGAUAGCCCUCGAUGGAGCACCGGUACACCAGGGAGAAGUGUGACCUCGACAUCAAUGCCACGGCCUGCAGACCCUCCGGGCCUGCAGUGUUUUGGAUGGUCAGAUCCUGGGCCAUGAAUCCCAUCCCAUGAACACCUGCAUCAGGCGCAACAGCAAAGUCAACAAACAUGCAUAUGCGCAUGUGAUUGUAUUAUUGUUCUGACGUGAUUGAAAGGGCGAUCGGCACUUACUCACGGUAGCAGUGUCCGGCGUGCUGAGGUUGUCAAACCGGUGGCUCUUGUUCCCGGUGAUCACCGUCUUUCCGGCGCCUUCUCCGAUCAGGAUCACAUGCUUCCGGGUGAUAUUUAGAGUCUCAUUGUACACUCCCUGCUUGAUGAAUACGGUGAGAAUGCUUUGCUCACUGCCAAUUUGGUCCUCUUGCGCCGCCAAAGCAGCGGUGAUGCUGGCCCGUCGCCGCUGGUGGCGUUCUUGGCAACGAAAACAUGUGUCGUCCCCACCAUGUUUGCGAGCGAUGGCGGCGCUCCGCCCAGGGCCAGCAGAUUUACGUAGUAGUAUGAUCCAUCGACCUCUUCUACACCCUCUCGAUACGGCCUGACGACUGCACACCUACUACUAUGGCUAUCCAGAAACUAGAUACCCCUAAGGUAGCCGGUUCUCCUUUUCUUUUAUAGGGGGAAGUUAAAGUGUGUCUCCUACUAAAUUCACUCAAACUUGAGAUAUUUCGAUUUUAUAAGAUUCUUAAAAUAACUUAUAAUUUAGGAUGAAAGGAGUAAUUAAUAAUUUACUGCAAAAUUCAUCGCCAUCACAUUUUUUUUAAAAGAAAAGGUAUUUUGCACGUCUUUGAUAACCUUUCUUUUAAGCCUUUUCACUUAGCAAGCUAUUAUUACUACUCAAAAAGCUAAGACAUCAAUAUUAUUAUGUAUAUAAAUUAGAGGUUGUUUUACUUUAUUUCCAUUACACAUUAUAGUCUUCGAUCCGUUCGUUCCUUCGGUUAUUUUCAGACAGAGAGAAUAAUUGCAUAAUUCCCCUCUCUCUCUCUCUCCUAGUCUCAUUUUUUAAUCAUACCCAUUAGGGAUGUUGUUGAGGAUUCUUGAUGUCUAAAUAAAGUUAAGCUCCGACAUUUGUCUCCUUUCGAGUCUCCCAAAAGAUGCAUGAGUGGAGUUAGACUUCUCAUCGCUUUCCACAACGCGUGUUGCAAUAUGUCUAAGAUGUUUAAUUUGUGCACCACUAUACACUAUUAAGAGCCUAGGGCUUCCAAUAGUUAUAGGAAGCCCUAGCCGAAACACCAGUUGAUCCGACCAAACCAGCUAGUCACUCAGCAACCCGCCUUGGCCCAUCCCAGCUCACCUACCUUGCCGGCCCAUCCAUCACAGUAUAUAAAUUGGGCACCUCCAAACCCUAAUCACGAGAUGCCCUCGUCCAGCCACCAGCCCACCACCGGCCAUCCACCCCCACUUGCCUCGACCGCCGACCACCGGCGGCCCUCCCCACCCACAGCGAGCGUCGUUGGCCCCCUUCCCUAGAUCUGCGCUCCCUGGAUAUGACGACGUGGAGGCGACAACCUCUAGGACCUAUUCUCAACCCGGCAUACAACAAGAUGGUUGCGGUGGCCGGGACACAAGCGGCGGCGCUGCACCUCCCCAUGAGCGCACCCCUACCGCCCCUACGAUGCCGCGGCGGUGUCCUUCCCAACCACAGCGACACCCUUCCCACCCCUGGCGGCUCCCCACCAUCCACAGCACGCCCCCAUCAUCCACGGUGAGAUCCAUAGAGGUGGCCACGGUAGCUGCCUCCCCACCAUGGCAUAAUCCAUGGAGGCAGCCACGACCAUCCCCUACCCCGACGACAGUCCAUGGAGGACCUCCCCACCAUCCACCGACAAGAUCCAUCCACCCUAGUGGCUCCCUCUGACCCUAGUCGAGGCUCGACUGCGCGGUGGCGUAAGCCAACGGUACGCGGACCGCAUGCAUGCAUUCGUGCGGGCCGCAGGGGUGUGUAGCUCUGGCCUCUCAGCGCACCUCCUCGCCAUGGCACACAGCGGCAUCCCAACACCCCCUCCAUGGCUUGGUAAGCAGAGGCAUGUGGGUCCUCCUGAGCAAGAUCUGGUGAGCAUCCACGCGAAUCUCCGGCCAAGGGCGGCGUGGGUGAUAGUUGAGGAUUUUGCCUCACCUCUCCCAGCAGCGGUGACAGUCCCCAAACACCUGCGAUGGUGCCUCCUCACAAUUUCAUAUUCCUUUUUUCUUGUCAACAUCCUCACAGCUAAGAGAUUGAUUAUAUUUUUUCUAAUUUCGAAAUUAACUAAUUUUAUGAAAUAAAAAUAAUUCUAGAGAAUCUAGAAUCACCAUUUAUAUCACAAAAUUAAUCCGAAGCUUAGAAAAUCCCUAGAAAAAAAUCCUAGAAAUGGAUUAAAGGAUGAGGAACUCAAACAAAGCAUUUGGAGCUCAUGAAAAGAUUUUUUUUGGAACUUCGAAUAAAAAAGAUUAAGGUCAAGGGGAGUAGGAAUUAAAUUCUAGAAAAAACUAGAAAAUUCUUAUAGAUAGAAUAUUUAUCUUCUGAAUGUAUUUUAAAAUAUUUAGAAUGUUUAUCUUCUAAAUGUAUUUUAAAGGCGCCAGGGACCGCGGGUUAGAUAAGAGAGAAAGAGAGGGACUCUUUAGCAAGAUUGACCCCGAAGGGGUAUCUUCUAAUUUUGGCCGUUGAUUCAAGAUCCUACGGCCCAAAUCUGCUAAGGAUGAUGGAGAGGGGUGACAACCGUCCGGCUACAGGGCACCGACGGCGGCGCCAUUGCCGGAGAGCUUGGAGCCUCGUCGGAGUUGGUCGGGACGGCGUUCUAGUGCACCAAAUUCAAAUCCGAGAGCAUGGGGAGCAAGAGAGGGACGCCGCGAACUCACCAAGACCAAGAUAAAGGACGGGGACAGCUCGGAGAGGUGAGACCACGCGGUGUGGCGGCUCGAUGCUCCUGCAGAGGGUUCGGCGAGGACUUAGGAGCAAAAGAUCGUGCUAGAGUGUAAAAGGAAGGGCUAGGCAUGUUCGUCACCUCAAUCCGAAGCUGGGCACGGUAUCGAUUUUGUUGACACGGCCAUGGACAGAAAGUUCCACGGCGGCGGCAAUUGAAACACCUCGGCGAGAUCCGAGACGCGGUAGACCAGAGGCUAGGGCUCAGGCGAAGGCACGAUGAUGGGAAAAACGAGGGCGUGAAGAGGGAAUGGGAUUUUAUAGGAGCUUGAUGCGAGAGUUGGCAAGGAAUCCCGGGAAGAUCGGGAUUGGGGAUUCGCCUGUUAGCCAGAGACCGGCUUGGUCACAACGAGGAAGAAGGGGAGGGAGUCGCUGACCUAGGGGUCCCACCUGGCAGCGACUAAAUGGCGCGCGGCCGGUUUGCCAGAGAUGGGAGGUGGGAAGGCCAGCGCGCGUGCGGGCUCGCGCGUUCCUGGGCCACGCACUAGGCCGAGGCGAGGGGGAGACGGGAGGCGCGCCGUUGGGCCAGAGCCUGGGCCGCGCGUGGGGUGUGCUGGCCAACAGGCCGAGGGAAGAAAAGGAGAAGGGGAGGAUGGGGUAGGCCUUCGGCCAAAAUAGAGAGAGGGAGGUUUUCCCUUUUUUGUUUGUUUUCUUUUUGUUCCUUUUUAUUUCAAAAAUUUUUCAAAGCAGUUUUAAAUCAAUUUAAAAUAAUAUUUUGACUUUAACCAAGUUCACACAUUACAAUGAAAAGGAAUGCUCCAAAAUGAAUGCACAAACAAGUUGCUAAACCUAUGGUAAAUUUUAAUUAAAUGAAAAAAUAUUAUUUACCUAUGUUUUAUGAGCACAAAAAUUCAUAAUUAAAUCAUUUUAGCUCUAUUUCCCGUAAAACAAUUUUUAGGGUGUUACAAAGUUUCAUCUCAUGGAGAGGGUUUAACACGAUAAUAAAGUUAAUGUUUCUUCAUCCAACUACUAUUUUUUAUGCAACGUUGGUGCAAAAAUCUUUUUUACGCAUCUUGACUAUUUGAUUCUAUGCAUCCAAUCUGUAAUCACAUGCCAUGAUUCAAAUUUUAAAUUUAUGAAUUUUAAUUUUUUUAAAGAAAAUAUUCACAAUGGGUCUUGAAGCAUGCACAAAAAUGUGAGGAGUUCAAUGGUAAAAAUCGUUUUUGAAUCGGAUGCUUUAUUUAAGAAUAUAUUAUCGUGAAAAAUGGAAGAAAUUAGAUUGGUGCAUAUGUGUGUCAGCCUGUGUCAAGUGUUGUCAAGUGGAACAUCCAGCUCGUAGAUAGGUUUUUAUGCGAUAACACAUUAAUUUUAAUUCAUACAACCACAAGAUUUUAUGAAUUAUUGUGAUAAAAAUCUUUCUGUGCAGUCUGAUAUUAGAUUUUAUGCGUCUAAUUGAUUAGGUCCUGAAAGGGUCCUCCACCUAUGCGCGCGUUAGCUUCGUAGACAUUCUCAAACCGAUAAAUAAGUAUGAAUACAUACAUAAUGUAGUUUAUUGAAAGAUGAGAGUAAUUACUCCCGGUAUGCAUGCAUUAUUGUCUCUUACACUAUAUAUAUAUAUAUAUAUAUAUAUAUAUAUAUAUAUACACACACACACGUGCACGCCACACCAAUCGGCCGAUCGAGAGAGGGAUCCAAAACACAUAUUCCUACUGCAUGUCGUCAGCAUGCAUGCAUGGGAGGUGCGCGCGCGCAGCAAGGAAUAAUAAUAAUGAUGAUGUACGUAAUAAUGUAAAAAGCUAGCUAGCAGGCGGCCGUCUCGAUGGAUUGAUGGGUCGUCGAUCUCAGUCGUCUCUCCAUGCAUGCAUCCAUAGCUAGACCGACGUACAAGACUAGAUCAAGAGAGAAGGAAGCUAAGGGAGCUUAGCUAGUAGCCGAUCGAGAGAUCUAGUAGUUCUAGCAGAGCUCGAUCGCUGCUGGCCGGCCGGGACCAUGCUCUGUAUGCAAGCGGCAUCCCGAUCGAUCAGCCUUCCUCUUUUUCUCCAUCUCCCUGCUGCAGCUAGAGCUAGAGGGAGGAGGAGGAAUAUCGAUCGAUCGAUCAAUCGAUAUGCCCGCAUAUACUGUAUAAACGCAUGAUCGAUUGAUCAUCACUAGCCAGCCAGCCAGCACAGUACAGCAGGACCAUGCAUACGUUUGCCCGGCCGGGACUGAGGGAGAGGCCUAGCUUUGUUUAGAUCAAAAACGAUUUAGGUAUUGCAUGUAUCACUUUCGUUUGUAUUUGGUAAUUAGCGUCUAAUCAUAAAUUAACUAGGCUUAAAAGAUUUAAUCUAUAUAAUGCUUCAUGCAUGUGUCGCAAUAUUCGAUGUACCGGAAAAUCUUGAAAAAGUUUUUGAUUUCGAGGGUGAACUGAACAAGGCCAAUGAUGAAGAAUAUACUUAGCUAAUACAUAGUACGUACUAUACACACUACAUAUUACGAUCCUAUAUCCUAUCUACUUGAUGCAUAUAUAUGAUGUGUUCCUCAAUAGCUCUGCUGUCUCUCGUUGCAUUGCAUUGGUCUUCAACAUGGCGCUGAAUCGAAAAGAUUCGGAUCCGAGCUAGGGUUUGGGAGUAAUAGCUAGAGCGAGCUCUGCCAGCCAGCUGCACAUUGUCUCGAUUGACCGACCGAUCAGUCCCUUCAUCCAUGCAAGAUGGGCAUGCUGCUGUCUGCUGCAGCUACAGCCUACGGCUAGGGGGAUCGGAUCACUAGCUAGCUAGCUAGUACGUGCCUGCAGCCAGCACUAGAUAGAGGGAGAGAAAGUGUUAGGAGAUAUAAUUUUACACGAGAUAAACCUUUGGUUGGUGCGGCAAGGACUCCUAUAUUAGGAUAGUUAAACAUAGAAUCUUUGUAAUUUCUAAUUCAGGAGUCCUAGCCUAAAUCACAUAUAUCUGUAAUAUUGGUUCUAUAUAAACACGGACCCUAUGGUGAGCCAAGUUAGGCAACCAUAGUUACUCCAUAUUCUUUCAUGGUAAUCAGAGCCUCCUCUUCCUAAAACAGAUCCACAAAUAAAUCUCGUCGACAUCCUAUCGCAACAAGAGGGCCGCGACGCUCUGCGAUCGUGACGCCCCUCCUCGCGAUGUGAAGACCUACGACCGCCGAUCGUGACGGUCUUCCUGUUGCAGUCAAGAUGGCGUCGUCCUCCUCGCAUCACGACGCAAGAUCAGCCUUCAGACACCCGGUGUCGGACAAACUGACCCGGAACAACUUCGUUCUAUGGAAGACCCAGUUCCUCCCGGCUGUUCGUGGUGCCAAGGCGCUAGGCAUCUUGGAAGGUACCACACCUGAACCGCCGCAGGAACUGGAAGCUGACGUCGACGGCAAGAAAAAGAAGAUUCCCAAUCCGGAGCAUGACUCAUGGGUUGAAAAAGAUCAGCAGCUACUUGGCUAUCUGGUUAACUCGGUCUCCAAGGAGGUCCUAGCCGGAAUUACGACUGCAACGACCUCUGCCCAAGCAUGGAAGGCACUAGGGGUUAUGUUUGCAGCACAAUCACGAGCGCGAGUUACUAAUCUGCGCAUGCAAUUGGCCACCGUCAAGAAGGGAGACCUCACAACGGUGGAAUACUUCAACAAAAUUCAGAACAUCAAAGACGAACUUGCUUCAGCCGGCGUCACCAUUAAUGAUGAUGAGGUUGUUGCUCAUAUGCUUAAUGGAUUAGAUUUUGAUUAUCAUCCGUUUGUGUCCUCUAUGAUGGGUCGUUCAGGAGAUCUCUCGCUCUCUGAACUUUAUUCCCUUUUGAUGGAAUAUGACCUUCGGCUGGAGAUGUAUCAAGGAGCAGAACAACACCAGUCCUCGGCCAAUGUGGCAUCCCGAGGACGUGGGAACCGUGGGCGCUCUGGAGGUCGUCGUGGUGGCGGCAGAUCCAAUCUAGGGCGUCCAGGACAGAGCAAUCAGAACUUCAGCAAACAAGGCAAAAAUCAGCAAAGCAACCAGAAACAGCCGUGUCAAAUUUGUAGGAAGGAUAAUCAUGAAGCCAAGCAGUGCUACUUCCGCUACGAAGAAGAUGAUCAAUACCGUGGCAGGCCUUCUGCAGCUUAUGGUAUUGACACAAAUUGGUAUGCUGAUAGUGGGGCUACAAAUCAUGUGACUGGCGAAUUGGAAAAACUCUCAGUCCGAGAUCGGUAUAAUGGGAGUGAUCAAGUCCAUACUGCUAACGGUACAGGUAUGCAAAUUAGUAAUGUUGGUCAUACAAUUGUUCAUACCCCUACCAGCAAUCUUUUUCUCAAUAAUAUUCUUCAUGUUCCAAAUGCAACCAAGAGUCUCGCUUCCGUUCAUAAAUUGGCCAAAGAUAAUAAUGCCUAUCUUAAAUUUCAUCCGGAUUUUUUUGUUAUCAAGGACAAGGACACGAAGAAGAUUCUGUACCGCGGUAGAUGUCAAGGUGGCCUCUAUCCUCUUUCAUCUGGCACGUCUUCCCAAGGACAGAGGCCGAAUCCAGAAGCUCUUGCUGCCCAUAUGCCAUCUACAUCUCUUUGGCAUAGUCGUCUUGGUCAUCCUGCUAUCCCCAUAGUUCAGAAGAUUAUCAGUUCAAAUAGUUUGCCGUGUGCUAGUGAUAAAAGUGUGGAGUCAGUUUGUGAUUCGUGUCAGCGGGCCAAGAGCCGUCAGCUUCCCUAUCCAGUGUCUAAUAAAAUUUCUAGUUCUCCUCUUGAGUUAAUUUACUCUGAUGUGUGGGGACCUGCUCCUACCUCUGUUGGACGUCAUAACUACUAUGUUAGCUUCAUCGAUGACUACUCCAAAUUUACCUGGAUUUAUCUUCUUAGACACAAAUAUGAAGUUUUUAAGGUUUUCCAAGACUUUCAGCAACUAGUAGAGCGAAAAUUUUCUAGAAAAAUUCUAUGCAUUCAAUCUGAUUGGGGUGGAGAAUAUGAAAAACUCAACUCCUUCAAGAAAAUUGGUAUUAGCCACCGCGUCUCUUGUCCUCAUGCUCAUCAACAAAACGGCGCUGCUGAGCGCAAGCAUCGUCACAUAGUAGAGGUUGGCCUUGCUCUCCUUGCAAAUGCAUCUAUGCCCUUGAAAUUUUGGGAUCAAGCUUUCCUCACUGCUACAUACCUUAUUAAUCUUCUCCCGAGCAAGGUCGUUAAUUUUGAGGUCCCUAUUAUUCGACUUCUUGGUGAGACGCCUGACUAUUCCAACUUGCGCGUGUUUGGUUGUGCCUGUUGGCCUAAUCUUAGACCAUACAAUUCGCGCAAAUUAUCUUUUCGCUCUACGCAAUGUGCUUUCCUCGGCUAUAGUUCCAUGCACAAAGGUUUUAAGUGCCUUGAUAUAUCCACUGGCCGCAUCUACAUAUCACGUGAUGUAGUCUUUGAUGAAGCUGUUUUUCCCUUUGCUGCCCUUCACUCAAAUGCUGGUGCUCUUCUUCAAAAAGAAAUUAUUUUGCUCCCUCCGUCUCUUCGCAAUCCAGGGGAUGACAAUUGCUAUGACUUCAACAGUACUAAUGCUACUAAUGUGCCUGAUGCUUCUACUGUGCCACAGGAAAAUUCUAGUGCUUCAUCUUCAGAAUGUCUUCCGCAGUUUUGUUUUCCAGCUCCUUCGGGUCUUCCUGGUACAGCACAUCAAAUUCAUGCAGAUCCGGGCAUGGUUUCCAUGUCCGGUUCACCUGCGUAGGGGGGGGGGCUCGGGAUCACCGGCAAUAGAGGCAACAGAAGAAUCCGUGCCUGGCACUCAUGAAAACUCCCGCUCGAUGACCUUACCGACAGAUGAUCAGGCAGUUGUUCCAGUUCCGGAGGAUCAGCCCAGAUCCUCUAUGUCUCUCGGAUUCAGUCAAUCAAUGCCUGUUUCAGAUGAGACCGAGCCCUCUGGUGCCCCUUCGGCGCUGCCGUCUGCACCUGAGCCUCAACGACCAAAGACUCGCCUGCAAAGUGGGAUUGUGAAGCCCAAACGUAUGUACGACGGUAUGAUUCGCUACAGUUUUUUUAGUACGACUGGAGAACCAAAUUCAGUUCAAGAAGCUUUAGCUAAUUCUAAAUGGAAACAAGCAAUGGAAGCAGAAUUUGAUGCACUCAAGAAAAAUAAAACUUGGCGUCUAGUGCCAAGUAAAUCAGGACAGAAUAUAAUAGAUUGCAAGUGGGUGUAUAAAAUUAAACGAAAGGCCGAUGGAAGUAUUGACAGAUAUAAAGCUCGUUUGGUAGCAAAAGGGUUUAAGCAGAGAUAUGGCAUUGACUAUGAAGACACUUUUAGUCCAGUUGUCAAGAUUGCAACUGUGCGGCUGGUACUUUCAAUUGCUGUUUCAAGGGGAUGGUGUCUAAAACAACUAGAUGUGCAGAAUGCGUUUCUUCAUGGCGUUCUGGAAGAGGAAGUAUAUAUGAAACAACCACCUGGAUUUGAAAGUGACGAGACUCCUCAUUAUGUGUGCAAACUGGAUAAAGCUAUUUAUGGGCUUAAACAGGCGCCUAGAGCCUGGUACUCCAGGUUAAGCAAUAAAUUAAUUUCUCUUGGCUUUGUGGCGUCUAAAUCAGAUACAUCUUUGUUUAUUUAUAACAGAGGUGGUAUAAUGAUCUACAUUCUCAUUUAUGUUGAUGACAUUAUUGUUACAAGCAAUGAUCCUAAAGCGGUAACAGCUCUCCUUGCUGACCUUCGUGAAGAUUUUGCCUUAAAAGAUCUUGGGAUGCUUCAUUACUUUCUGGGCAUUGAAGUCAAAGAAGAGCAAGGGGGUAUUACUCUCUCCCAAGGAAAAUAUGCACAAGAUUUAUUGAAACGUGUUGGUAUGGCCGAUUGCAAGCCAUGUACUACUCCCCUCUCGGCUUCAGAAAAGCUAUCAAGCUAUGAAGGUACACCGCUAAGUUCAGAAGAUGGUACUCGUUAUAGAAGUGUUGUGGGUGCACUCCAAUAUCUAACCAUCACCCGGCCGGAUUUAUCAUAUGCUGUAAAUCGGGUUUGUCAAUUUCUACAUGCUCCAACUACUAUACAUUGGACUGCUGUGAAAAGGAUACUAAGAUAUAUAAGGUAUACGAUCAAAAUGGGUUUGCAUAUCCAUAAGGCAGCGGUUCCUUCUCUCAGUGCUUUCUCAGAUGCGGACUGGGCAGGUGACGUGGAUGAUAGGCGCUCUACAGGAGGAUUUGCGGUCCCAAUUUAAUUUCAUGGAGUGCAAGGAAACAACCUACAGUUUCUCGGUCCAGUACUGAAGCAGAGUAUAAAGCCAUGGCAAAUGCAACAGCAGAGUUGAUUUGGCUUGAACAGUUGCUAACUGAGCUUGGUAUUAAGCUGCGUCGACCUGCAAUUUUAUGGUGUGAUAACUUGGGUGCAACUUAUUUAUCUGCUAAUCCAGUUUUUCAUGCCAGAGCUAAACAUAUAGAGAUUGAUUUUCACUUUGUCAGAGAACGAGUUUUGAGAAAACAAUUGCAGGUUCGGUUUAUAUCUACAAGAGAUCAGUUAGCAGAUGGGUUCACUAAGGCGCUUCCUGUAGCUAAGCUAAGAGAUUUUGUACACAAUCUCAAUCUUACAAGUGGCUGAAAGUUUCGAUUGAGAGGGGGUGUUAGGAGAUAUAAUUGUACACGAGAUAAACCUUUGGUUGGUGCGGCAAGGACUCCUAUAUUAGGAUAGUUAAACAUAGAAUCUUUGUAAUUUCUAAUUCAGGAGUCCUAGCCUAAAUCACAUAUAUCUGUAACAUUGGUUCUAUAUAAACACGGACCCUAUGGUGAGCCAAGUUAGGCAACCAUAGUUACUCCAUAUUCUUUCAGAAAGAAGAAGAAGAAGAAGCACCAGCAGCUAGGUAGCUACUAUUACUACAGUACUCCUCCCUCGUCCUAGUAGCUUCUGACUCGAUCGCGACUGAAGAUCGAUGAUAAUUGACCCACAGCAGCAAGACGACGACGGACGCAGCAGCACUUGAGAGCUACUUGCUACGUAGGCGCAAGCUAGCUAGCAGCUGGUGUUGGUAUUUCUCUGUGGGUGUACCUAGAACCCGACAGAAAAAAAGUCAUAAUUUUCUUGUCGGUUUGGCUAGCACCAGUAGGAGAAUCUUAGUUUCUAGUAGAGUGUCGAGUGAUCGCUGAUGUUCCUGACGGCGAAAUCGCCAUACUCGGGCGAGAGCACCACCUUGUCCACGCUCUGAGUGCUCCAGCGUGCACAUUGGAGUCGCAGCCGCGCCCACAGGAAUGGUGUACUCCGAUCCGGCCAAAUCGAGAAGACGAUGAUCAUUAACCUCUCAUUCACACACACGCAUGCAUCCCCAAAAUGGCACUUGAUCGAUGAGAUGAACUAACUAAAAGACACUUAAGUGCAUUAAUUGUGAGGUAGUCCAGAUAUUCAUGAGAUCGAUCGUUCUCCAUGGAUGCAUGCAAUGCAAGGAGAGCCAACAAAGGCAUAUCCUAAUUAAGCCAAGCCUGCAAAAAUAGACGUACGGUGCUGACUUAAUUACCUAAUAAUAAUAUAUAAGUAAGGUCCGAAGAAGGAAGGUAUAUAUAUAUAUAUAUGCUCUCAUUCAUAAAGAAUUCAUCAUCAUUAUUCCCUCCAAUAUAAUUAACCAACAACACGAUCGAGUAGCUAGCUAGCCACCCACCGUACCAUGGCUUCUUCUUCCUCCUCCAAUCAUAGCUUCCUGCUGCUGCUUUUAUUCCCUCUCCUGCUGGUGCUGCUCCUCUCCACAACGGUCGUCGCCGCCGAUUCUACAGCUACAGCAGAAAAGUACCAGAAGUGGUGCCAAGUAGCAUCAGAUUCUCCGUCGUGCGUCAAGGUGAUUGAGUCCAUCCCAGGAAUCCAGGAGGUCGAUUACAAUAACGCCGGCAAGGUCGCCGACUUGUGCUUGCAUUUUGCUGCCAAUAAGACAAAGGAGGCCAAGGGAGCUGCUGACACCUUGCUUGCCGCAGAAAAAGGCAAGCCUGCUUCCGGUUGCCUCAAGGCCUGCGCCACCAACAUCAAAUCAAUGGCCGAGGUAUUGGUCAAUCUUCCUGCUGGGCAGGACGACAUGAACGCCUAUCAAACCUAUAAGGAGGUCAGAGCCAAGUUCAAAAACGAGAAACCACCAGCCUGCGAGAAGGACUGCUGGAACAAGACGUCAUCGUCGUCAUCUUCAGCCGCCGACAUCGUGGACAAGUUCCAUGAUAUCUGGAAUGUGGCCAAAGUUGGGAAUAUGCAGAUUAAUUAUAUCUUUCCUUGGCCAGAUAGCGACGACGACGAUAACAUCCUUUAAUUUAAUUUAGGUACGUCUGCAGGGCAUGUACGUACGAUAUAUGACCAUGCAUGGUGUGCCAUGUGAGACCAUGCAUCACAUUACUAGCUAUUAUUUGUAUGCUUUAAUUUCUUCUUUUUAUUUUGUUUGAUUUGAAGGCAUGCAUGGUCGAUCUUGGCCACGCACCCAAUCUUUGGCAUGUUAUUGUAAAAUGGUAAUAAGUUGUGCUAUUUCUUGCAACAAUGUGUGUUAUAUAUGUUUAAUGUUGUAUUUAUAUCUAUUGCAACGUUAAGGGGACAUAUAUAUAAUUAAUAUUAACUACACGCACCAUCUCCGAGUCUCCUCCAGAUUGUUUAAGAUUUCAACGCUCGCUUCUGUGUCAAUACGAGAACAAUCAAGGCUUCCUACGUGAAGUAUCGAAGCUUUAUAUAGAAUGCAACAAUAUAUAUAAUAGGCUCUUUAACGACUAACAUAUAUAUGUCAACAUUUAGAUGCAUCCUAUUGGCACCCUAAGAUUUCCGAUUGCAUGGCAUUUCUCAACAUUGUAUACCUUUUCCUUCCCGUCACAUUAUUGUGUGAACGUUUUUUUGUCUCCAUGUGUAUCUUGGGCUGUGAAUAGAAAACACUAAAUCAAAAUAAACUAUAUGUUAUGAUUAUUUUUAUAAAACUUGCAAGAUUUAUUUAUUUUGUUAUCAAUUUAAAAGAGUGAAAAUAUGGGUUCAUGUAAGUGAUUUGUUGCAUUCAUGCCGAUUCCAUCUAGGUGCAAAAUGUUUUAAAAUACAUUUAGAAGAUAAAUAUUCUAUAUCUAAGAAUUUUCUAGUUUUUUCUAGAAUUUAAUUCUUACUCCCCUUGACCUUAAUCUUUUUUAUUCGAAGUUCCAAAAAAAUCUUUUCAUGAGCUCCAAAUGCUUUGUUUGAGUUCCUCAUCCUUUAAUCCAUUUCUAGGAUUUUUUUUUCUAGGGAUUUUCUAAGCUUCGGAUUAAUUUCGUGAUAUAAAUGGUGAUUCUAGAUUCUCUAGAAUUAUUUUUAUUUCAUGAAAUUAGUUAAUUUCGAAAUUAGAAAAACUCUAAGCGCAAAGUUUCAUCGACCCAUGAAGCUCAUGUGCAAUAAUCCUAAAGAUAAUGGGAUUAAUCGAUCCAUUGGUCUGCAUCAAUAUAGACCUUUUGGCGGAGGUAGACGCUUUGCCCAUCUCGGUUAACACAUUUCGCCCAUCUGAGAAAAGAUUUCUUUAGUUGUGAUCGUGUCGAUUGCUAAGUGUUGUUACAUUAUCUAGCUGUGACGAUUAAUUACAAUGACAGCACCAAUAUCGUUUACAUGUCUGAAACCACCAUGUUUAUCACUGAGUGAAAAAGCACAAUGAGAUUAACAUUCACUUUUGUUGUCACAAUUGGGACAAGUUCGUGUUCACUCUGUCCCAUGAGUACAUUAAUUUAGAGUCCCCGGCCACUUGAUAUAUUGACCACAUAUGCCAAGCAUGUCGAUCGGUAGUCUUCUUCUUCUUGAUCCUAUAAUAGCACAAACCAUGCAUGUUAUAAUAGCACAAACCAUGCAUGUCGUCCCAAGGAACUGUAUAAUACAAGGUCACAUACACACUAGGUGGACGCAGUUUUUUUACCCUAAACAAGGUCACGUACACACAUCUCAAAGCAGUUUCGCAUUGAGAUGUGUGUUUGCACACUUCUCAAAGCGAAUACAAUGGGUAGAAGAGUGAGGGCCUAUGCCCUCGAGGGCAAAGAAAACUUUACCCACACUACCUACGUCCGUCCAACCCGAUCCCGAUCUAGUAGCUUAGGUUUAGAGGUGUGAUUUCUUGGCCCUAGCUAGCUAUCUGUCUACAACGGUGCGGUCUUCAUCUUGCCCAGCAGCGCCCGGGUGAUCUCGACGCACAGCCCGGCGUUCCUGACGGCGAAGUCGUCGUACUCGGGCGAGAACACCACCUGCUCGGCGUGGUGCACCAGCGUGUCCAUGGCGCGCUCCCUGAGCGCCGCGCUGGAGCUCAGGUCGGCGACCUCCAGCGUCCGCAGCACGUUGGAGGCGUCCACGGCGGCCGCCAGCCGCGCCUCGCAUGCCCGCCGCAGGAACGGCACGUCGUACUUGUCGGCCGCCACGAGGAGCGCGUGCAGCUGAUGAUCCCCGUCGUCGUCCUUGUUGUUCUCCAGCGCGCCGGUGUAGAGGAAGGCGAGGAAGAGGUCGAGCUCGCCGUGGGUCAGCUCCGGGAGGGAGAUGGCGUCGCCGGCGGGGGCCUUGCAGCGCUCGUCGGCGGCCAGCAUGUGGCGGAACACCUCCGACCUCGCGGCCUGCAUCAGCAUCAGAUCAGACGCUAAGUAACUGAUGAUGAUGGGCUGGCUGGGCUUCGUCUUCGUUUGAAAGGAACGCAUGCAGGGAAUGAAGGCCCACUUACCAGGAUGGCUUUGUGGGCCGGAAUUGGGGGCCCAGUGCCUGGUUUCACGACGAUGUCGGUGUGGACUCCCUCCUUCCACGCCAUCGCCAGGAAGGCGGCUCUCUGGUGGGCCUCCUCCUCCCUGCCUCUCAUCUCCUUCACCUGCUCCCACGCGUCUCUCAUCCCCUGCAUUUCAUUGCUUGCUUGGUUCAGAAAAACCAAACUCAAUUCUGUUUGACACUUUGAGCAGCACAAAUCAUACAAAUGUGAAAUGGCAGGGGUCAGAGAAACAGUUGAACGCUCCUACUGAAAAGCAAGGCACCAAAAUUGACAGUGAGCCAGGAUCAAGCAAAAUAUACACUCUGCACUGCAUUUUCUGAGAUUUUUUUUUUUGCUGCAAAGUAAAACCUUAGGGAGUUCAAAUAACACAACACAGAAGCGUAAAAGGCGGUUGCUGAAAGGCCUCAAACUAAUAGCUUUAUAAGGACCCGUUAACAUCCGGGGGGGCUCACUUUUUACAGAACCUUUCUAUUGAAGGAUGCAUGCAGCAAACGUUGUCCUGAGAUUGUGACAUCCAGCUGACUAGAAACCAAACAAAGACGGUACUACAUGCUAUGAAACCAUAUAUAUAUAUAUAUAUAUAUAACAAGGAUGUAAACAUGCAUGUGUUCAAUCAGAAAUAGCAAGGAUUUGUACCUUGGUUGGGCUGUUAGGCUUGACAGACCCUCUGGACUUGAGCACAGAGCCAUGGCUCAGGCUGCCCUCUUCUUCAUGCUGAUGCUCAUCAUCCUUGUUCAGAAAUCCGAUGAUGGCCUUGGCGCCCUCAUGGCAGGGAGCACAGAUGGCGUUCCUCGGAAGCCUGUACACGGCUGCCAUGGGGCUGCAGAUGCAGCAGUCCAUGAUUCCGCUGCCGCCGCCUCCUCGCCUUGCUCUCCUUCUUCCUCCCUCUGGCUCUGGUGGUGCUCUGCAAUGGUGCUAACAGGUAACAGCAAGCUUGUCGCCAUGGCCUUGCGUUGGGUCAGGGUUAUAAAAACGAAUGGCAGGUGCAGGAACCAGGAUGGUGUGCUGCCAUUUCUUUUUCUACAACUGGUACGCGGUGGUUGCUGACUGAGACAAUCAGGGGAAUUGAAAUUCUCCUGGUUUUCAUAAAUGUGCUCGCUUGAAUGUAGACGGUGUGUUUGUGGACACCUUUGUAUGCCAAACUAGUACUUUGACUAAACUGACCUCGCUCCUCCGGGUAUCUCUUCUCCUUUUUUUUUCAGUUCAGAUGGAAUGAUUAUGUAUGGAUCGACAAAAGAUUAUCACUAGUACAACAGCUAAUCAUCAUGCAAAAUGUUAUUGCAGUUGGGGACACACACACACACACACAAAGUACGAGCAGACAUUGCCUUUCUGGAUUAUUUCACUUUUAGUGCAAGCUUAGGUACAAUUGUCCAUUGUUGGCCAAGCUAAGCCAACUACUGUGUACCUAAAACAGGCUGUUCAUGGACAGGACUGUAGAAACGUAGAGGGUACGUUGUACCAAAGACAUUUUUUAAGACAUAAUUAGUGCAGAUGAUCAAAGUCUUAGUUGACCGCAGAGUAGUAGUAUUCACAGAUAAGACUGAAUACUUUCAGCCACUUUUUUGGCUCUGUAACUUUUUAGCUACUUCACUGUUGAAGUGGCAAUGUGAAAUCCAAAUUAUCAAAUGAAAAUGUUGUGGAAUAUAAAAACUUAGCUGCUGGAAGGACAGUACGGUCUUUUCCUCUCAUCAGGAUGCCUAUAAUCAAGUAGCAGGCACGCCAGAAUUAAGUUGAGAUAAAAUGAUUUGGGUAUAUGAUUGCAUGAUUAUAAAAUGAAUGAAGAGAAGGAUCAUCAUGGACCAGCAGUAGGUUGCUUGAGAGGGACUUUGCAACCUAAACAAAAGAGAGUUAGAGACUUGGACUUUUGUUGGGGAAAAGGGAAAAAUGAAAGGUGGAUGUUGGAGAGGCUUGGAGGGUGGCACGACUUAGCUAGCCUAAUUAACGCUUCCAUAACAAGGCUGUGUGUGUGUGUGUGUGUUAACCACUAUCCUCCCACUCACCCGACAUGUGGGCCCUCGCCCGGUCUCUUUCAAGUCAUGCCGCGCAUGCAUGGCAGAAGAAUAUAUGGAAUGGAACUGCUGCAACGUACUGGUGUCAUAUACUGUAGUAGGGAGAAAAGGGAUGAGAUUGUUUUUCUCCCAAAAGUAGUAUGAAAGGGGAUGAAAAAAGAUUGAGCAUGACUUUUAUUUUAUUUUUUUAAUAAAUAAAGAAGGAAAAGAAAAGAAAGCUAGCAUGCUUACUAAUAAUUAGUGUAAUAAUCAGUGUCCCAUCCCGCAGGGAAAACAUAAAGGGGUAAUAAUGAUCAUGCAAGUAAUGAAGAUGUAAAGGCGAUUGGAGUGAGGACAUCUGUUGAUGCACAUCUAAUAAUUCAAAUAAUGACGAUGUGGAUUUGUUGGGUUGGUUGGUUACUGCAUAAUAGUCGUUGCCGCAUAAGUUACAUGGCAUUAUGAUCUCUAUCUUUAUUAUUAUUCUCUAAUUCCCAACCUAAUAUUAAAGAGCUAGCAAAACAUUUUUUUCAAUCCACUUUUUCCGUUCUCAAUAUCUCCUCCAUUCCUCCCACCUUAUUUGCCCUCUUUGGAUACUUUAACUAAGUUAGAAGUUAGAGUUAUUCUCUAGCUCAUGACUAGCCCUCAACUAACUCUAGCCAAAGAGGUGUUUGGAUGCAAAGGUUAGAUUGACAAUAAAUGUACUUUCCCAAUCAUUUAGCUCCUUCCCAGCCGGAUUUUGUGUGGCUCUAGCUCGUGGUGGGCAAUAGGGAGGGAGGCCAGAGCUUCUCACGCUGCCAGGAAGGAGCUUGUCGCCGUCGCCCUGGAGGACGGCUCCGUAGAGCCCAAGCCCUGGGAACCCCUCUACCGCUGGUGGUUGCAAGUUAAUUAAGGAUGUGAUCCGCGAGUUUAGGACCACUCAGCGACGGCUGCGAGCCCCACGCAAGUAAGCCAUCUCCGUCCAUCGAUGGAAGCUAGGCAGCAGCGCGGCUUGGAGACGGCGGCAAGGCGGGCUUAUGGCGGCAGUGCUGGUUCCCGGGAGGUGGCGGUGCAGCUGCAGGUUUACGUCACGCGUGGGGAAGAGUAACCGAUCGCGCGAAGGGAGGCGAUCUCGUGCGGCAAAACAAUGCUUUCCUAUGGGCCCCACCUCAAAUAGCUCCAAAUAGCCCAAAUAAGCAUCUCUUUAGGGAGAUAGUUUUUGGGGUUGGGUUAGAUACAAAUAACCCUAAUCUAACCGUCAUGUUUGGAUACUUUAAGGCUAUUUGAGCCCCAAAUAGCUAAAUCUAACUCUAACCCAUGGAUGCAAACAGGGCCAUUAUUUCCCAAAUUGCUCCUUACGCCCUCUGUGUCCCGGCCCGGAUAUAUGUGACCUAGAUUUUAUAUAUGAUCCAUGCUCAACGAGUUGCAACACAAUCGUGUCCAGUGAUGAUAUAUGGAGAUGAUCUAUCCCAAACUGCCUCACUCUCUUUAAUUUGUAUCCCAUAUCUGACCUAAAUUUAUAACAUGUGCUCGUACGAGUUAGCACAUAUAACAACUCACAUCCAGCGCGACGAUACUGAUUCCGAUUUCAAGACUUUUUGAGCGUUCCAUGAAAUGCACAUGUAUGUUUAAUUCGAUAGUUAGCUACAAACAUGUGUAACUUAAUUAGUGCCAGUAUUGUUUUUUUCCUUGAAUGACAGGGAUAUAUGAUUGUUUGCAUGCAUCAUGCAUCAUGCAUGGGCGCAUCUCAACGCGGAUGGCUCCCUUUGACCUACUAUAUACGUAUAGUACGUUGCUCCUAUCCUUACGGCUGUAUGUACAUGCAUGUUUUUUUUUCCCAAAAAAGAAGGGCUGCACGCAUAUGCACAACAUUAGUAUUUGUCGCAGUAGUAAGGCCUUGUUUAGUUCAUUCCAAAAUCCAAAAAAAAAUUAAGAUUCUCUGUCACAUCGAAUCUUGUGGCACAUGCAUAAAGUAUUAAAUAUAGACGAAAAUAGUAAAAACUAAUUACACAAUUUGUCUAUAAAUCGCGAGACGAAUCUUUUGACCCUAGUUAGUCUAUGAUUGGACAAUAUUUACCACAAACAAACGAAAGUGCUACAGUAACGAAAUCCAAAAAAUUUUCACAUCUAAACAAGGCCUAAAUGGAAUACGAGUGCAUGAUUGAUUUGUGGUAAACCGUUGGCGUGGAAUCACGUCAUGGCCCAUCAUUAAUCAUUUGACUUAGCCAAUCAAAUCAGCAGCAGGGUGGAGGGAAGUAGUGACCCACCCACAGCAGGCCCACAGUUACAUGGGCUUCUUUCUAUGUUUAUGGACCAACAUGAAACGGAGUCUGGUACUUGAGCACUGGGCCACAUUCACGGCCCUGGGCCUUCAUCCAAAUCUUAUUCGUAUUCCGUAGUACGUGUGGAGACUGGAGAGUGGAAAAAUUCUAAAAAAAGAAAAGAAAAAGAAUACAAGGAAGUGGAAAAGUACGCCUCAAGCUCUUGCAAUAACUAAUUACUCCCUUUGUUUUUUCUAAGAAUUAAUUUAUAGAAUUCAUGUCAGUCAAUUUUUUUAAUUUAAUUAGUUUUAUAGAAAAAAUAAAUAUAUAACAUAAAAUAAAUAUCUUAUAAAAAUUAUAUUCUACUAAUGAUACUAAUUUGGUACUAUAAAUCUUAGUAUUUUUUUAGAAAUUUAGUUAAAGUUUGAAAAGUUUGAUUUUAAACAACUCUAUGAUAGAUUUAAUGAUACUAAUUUGGUACUCAACAAAAGACAGUAGUCACACACCACACAAGAACAAGAGUCAGAGACAGCCGCAUCACAUUUACCAUAUUGCUUUUUUGUUGUUGUUGUUGUUUGCGAGAUCAAAAACAAAACAAAACAUAAAUAAUUGUCGUCAACAUCGUGACCAUUCAAUCAAUAAUAAGAUGGAAUGGUACAAGUAUUACAAGCUAGGUGAUACUGUUACACAGAAGAAAUGGAAGGCAACAAAUUGAACAGAAGUCUCUGAUGGAAAUACAAGCUGGUGAGCGCUGGAUGGAUCGUCGUCGUCUCCGGUAGCAAUAGCAAACCAACUAGAGGAAACCAUGGGCGCGCGGGCUCCGGCCGGUAGCAACUCCGAUGGAUGCCGCGCGCCGUCCGGAUAGACAUGGACUCAUUCAUUCAUUGAUGUGGAUGGAUGGAUGGAUGGAUGGAUAAUGUAAACCACGGGCGGGGAUUAGGAUUAGGAUUAGGAUUAGGACGAAGCCACGUCACGCAUGAUUGCUAACCAGGCCACCCACCAAUUAUUGCUACUAAUUUAUUGUUGUUUGUUCCUCUUUCUUGUCGCUCCUCCUCCUUGCUAGCUACCAGCUCCAGCGCUCGUUCUCGUUGCCGUCGGCGUCGGUGGCCGGCGGCAGCUGGGAGUAGAAGCCGUAGUCCAGCUCCUCCUGCCGCUGCUUCCCGGCGCUGCUGCCGGAGUAGUGGUGCGCGAGCGCGGCUCCGCCGAGGACGGCGAGUGUGAGCGCCUGGGCGUGCAUCCUGGCGUGGAUGAGGCGCAGGCUCGUGGCACGCGCCGGCGCCCGACGCCGGCUGUACGCCACCGACGCGCCCACCGCCGUCGCCCACACGGCUCCUGCAAGGCACAAGCACAACAGCAUGUAUGUAUCUGUGACUGUGAAUGAAUGAAUGAUGAAUCAAAGCUGCUAUAGAUUUGAUUUGACUGCACGAUCUGAUCUCAGAGGGGAUCGGGGAAAAAAAGAAAAUAAAAAACAGAGCAGUAAUAAUUCUGAAGUGGACGAGCACGACCAGUAGUGAGUGAUGAUGACUCACCGAUGGUUGAGAGCUUGUGUUCCUCCACCCACGACUGCAGGGACGAGCUAAUCCUCUCCAUCGAUCUGCCUCGAGACCUAGCCUCGAUCUUCGAUUCGAUUCGAUUCGAGUCGAUCGAUCGACAAUAAUAAUCUCUCUUUCAAACGGUCUGUGUGUUUGGAUUUGCAGCGAUGGAUGGAUUGCUGUUGCUGGGAGGCACAGCCAGGUGACCUACUUAUAUAUAUAGGAAGCUGACGAGAGUGGGGUGGCGUGCGAGUGUUGAAGCACCCUGCCUGCAGAAAGGAAAGGGGUGGGGGCAAACGGGGGGCUGAGGGAGACGACGACGACGAAACCAGAGGCUCCCCCGCCUUCUGUUUUUUCUGCCUCUCCUCCCCCUGGUUUUCCUACACUAGACUAGAGGAGCUUCUUGUGGGCACGGAAUGAAUCGGUUGGCACGUUGUAUGGUAUGGUACCCAACCCAAGGUUUUUCAUUCAUUCAGUCAGUCAGUCAGUCAGUUCAGGCACGGGUCCACCUUAUCUCCUUCCUGCCGCCUGCCUGCCAUUCUUGUUUCCGAGUACGAGUCGCAGACAAGUGGGCCGUCAGCGCUAUGCUGGACCCUAUUGUGUCAGUGACACGGACGUAGCAAUGACGUACUUCGACUUGUCUAAAAUUUACAAGAUUUUUAAUCUUUAAACAGAGCAUUAAAUAUAUAUAUAUAUAUAUAUAUAUUAGACACAUGCAGGUAGCAAUGACGUACUCCAACUUAUUAUCAUUGAGGAAAUAUGAAAACCAAUUUAAAAAUUAUAUAUAUAUAUAUAUAUCAUUUAUUUUAAACAAAUUGAAACUUACCACGUUAUAUAUAAAAAAGGUUAAUACAAACUCACAACUUGGAAAAAUAAGGCUCACAUAAUUAUAUGUUUCACCGGGAGGCAAGAUAUUUUCUUGUUCUGCGUAUUUUUAACUUGUGAGAGACAUACAAGUGGCACGGACGUGACAACGUGACAAUGACGUAGCAUGCCCUUAUUCUCUGCCAAGUUCCCAAUUUUUUUUAAAAAAAAAACAAAAUUUUUAUCGCAUCAAAUCUUUAAAUAUGUACAUAAAAUAUUAAAUAAAAAUAAAAAUUAAAAACACGUAUAUAUCCUUUUUUUAGGAAAAAAAAUUAGGUGUGGAUGGUCCUUACUCGGCACCAUGUGGACCUCCAGUUAAAUUAUGACGCGUGGACUUGUUAAUCGACCGGCUCAGGCUCACUCGCACUCACAAGUCACAAGCUCAUAGUAAUAAUUAAACGGGCUUGUUAAUUCACGGCGGCGUAGAUGGGAUUUGCACUAUGUAAAUAAAGGAAAUCACAGACGCGUGUUUUCAUGCAUCACAGACGCGUUAGCACGCGUCUCAAGUAACGCGUCUGUGAAGAGUGCUAUUACAGACGCUCAUAGCGCGUCUGUAAUAGCGCUCUUCACAGACGCGCCAUGUAAACAAGUGUCUUUACUAAGACGAAUACGCGUCUGUGAAUAAAAGAACACGCGUCUGUGAUACGAGGGACAAGCGUCUGUGGUUUUGUUGUACUGCAGAAGCAGAUAUAUAUGAUAGCCUAUGCUGUUUCUACAUGGCAGAAAUUACCCAGUUCUUAUAAUAACGCACUGAACACCGACCACAGAUAAAACACAACGUAAACAUGUUCACUUAGUAUUCACGUAACGUUACAGAGGAUCCACACAAAAUGCUAGUUCAAAUUAAAUUAAUUGACCAGCGCACUAUAGCUAGGCCAACACACUUGUUGGCCGCGAUCUUAAAGUGCUCAACUACAAAGUGCCAACACAUCAUGAGUGUUAUUUAUCUCCAUCUAAGCUUCAUCGCCUUUUUUUUGUAAGAUCACACUACAAUGAAACUCGCCAUUUUCAUCAAUGAUCUGUUCCACAAUGAACAGGGCGAUCCUCUCCCUAAUAUCAUUCAGGUUGAUUGGAGUGGACGUAAAAUCAAAGUCCUGAAAAACAGCGGAUCAUAAGGAAGCAGCUCAAGGACCAUGCUUACUAUUAAAAUAUAGAUAUGUCAAACAUUUCACAUGUCAAACAUAUAUAUCCAUAUAAAUUGAAUAUAUAUGCCAUGCAUGCAAAUUCAAAAAGGUAUAAGAGUUUAUAUUAACCGACAAUCAUAAUUGAAAUGAUUCAGAGUGAAUGUUAUAAUUAAUCCAAAAAACAGAGGUAUUAAUUCUAGUAUCCUAAUUUCCCUUUCAAACCAAAACUUAUGUCUUUCUUGUUCUUUCAACGAUCGAUGCUAGCUUUCAAUCAAUGUUGGUUUAUAAACAACUAAAAUCCUGAUUUUCACAACAUGUGUAAUAUAUUACUUUGAACUGAUGUAUGGAUACUCGACUCAUGAUAAAAACCAUUUUGCUAUAUUGUUUCUAUGACUAUUUAUUUCUGAUAUUUCCAGUUCUUAUGCCAAAAAGCACAUCAAUCUGCUGCUAUAGACUACUAUAUAUAUAUAUAUAUAUAUAUAUAUAUAUAUAUGUGUGUGUGUGUCUGUGUGUGUGUGUGUGUGUGUGCUUGCCAUACAAUAUAAGGUCAGUUGAUUAUCUUGUUUAUCCCAUCCUGUCAAUCUAUCUGAAUAUACAAAUUUCUUCCUCCAUCCUGUCUAUAUAUAUAGUUAAGAAUCCUUUCAAGAUAAAGAUCAAAAAGCUUGGCAAACUCCUUGUAGUUGCAUCACAGUUCAAGGUUAGAACUCUCAGGAGAAUGGUGAGAGGAUGGGAUGAGGUAGCUACCCUAAAUAGAAAUAAAGCCUCUCUUAAUGACAAGUUUAGAGGAUAUUAUAUAUGGAGACUAGAAGUCUGGAACCAAUAGAGAUGAUAGAAUAUAGAGAUAUAUAUAGAAGAAUAGUUAUCACAUAUCUAGGCCAUAGAGGAAAUUAAAGCUAGACAGAGAUCUAGAAUAUAGAUCCCUACUACAGGGUGACAGAAACAGCUUACUUUCAGGCUAUAGCAAAUUAUAGACGUAGGAGAAAAAAUGAUAAAUGUUUACAAGGUCCGAAUGGUUUAUUUUAUGAUCAAAAAGGAAUGAUGCAAAUAGCUGUAGAUUUUUAUAAAAUGUUGUUUGCUAAGGAAAACAAUUCCUUUGUUAAGCUAGAUGAGAAUUUUUAGGGGAGCCCCAAGAUAUGGUUCCUUCUGAGGAGAAUGAGAGUUUGUUAGCUCCUUUUCUGGAAGCAGAAAUAAAGAAGCAUUAUGCUGAAGGGGCUGAUCAGGUCCUGAUGGACUCCCUUUCCUUUUUUACCAAAAGUUUUGGAAUUUAGUUAAACGAUCUAGUACAUUUGUUUGAUGAUUUCCAAAAAGGUAAACUUGACUUGUUUAUAUUAAAUUGUGCUCUUCUCACCUUGAUCCCAAAAGUAGGAGAUGCUUCAAAUAUGAAGCAAUUUAUACCUAUUAGAUUGCUCAAUUGAAGCUUUAUGAUUUUUUCCAAGAUUCUUACUAGUAGAUUCAGUACCAUUGUGCAGAGAAUUAUAGCUCCAAACCAAUCCGCGUUCAUUAAAGGUCGGUAUAUUUUAAAAAGUGUGGUGAUAGCUCAUGAAAUUGUUCAGAGCAUUCAUACAAUGGGAGAAAAAAGGGGUCAUUCUCAACUUAGAUUAUGAAAAAGCGUAUGACCAAGGUAGCUGGACU
This 82131-nucleotide long non-coding RNA is filed under the name Sorghum bicolor (sorghum). RNAcentral describes it as "long non-coding RNA (SBIC_LNC007520)". The stretch from base 64822 to 64960 matches the Rfam family "Small nucleolar RNA Z247". The record is from RNAcentral. Lineage: Eukaryota; Viridiplantae; Streptophyta; Magnoliopsida; Poales; Poaceae.